This 44943-nucleotide long non-coding RNA is filed under the name Arabidopsis thaliana (thale cress). RNAcentral describes it as "long non-coding RNA (ATHA_LNC000074)". Lineage: Eukaryota; Viridiplantae; Streptophyta; Magnoliopsida; Brassicales; Brassicaceae. The record is from RNAcentral.
AUUUUUUUUUUUUUUUGUCGACUAAAAGAAUGAUGUUAUCUUUUUUUUUACUUGUGAAUUUUGUUCUUCUUUUUCUUUUGCCUUUUAUUACAAUAACCACCCGAAGAAUAAAUGAAUCCUAACAAUGAAACUUUUAUUUUAUAUUAUUUGACAAUUUCGACUGUUGGGGACCAAAUCUAAGCCGAGCGCAUGCGUAACUAUAAACUAUUGACGUUGAACAAAUAAAUAGUGUUAAACUAUAUGUUUAAAAUUGUUGAUCUAUCAUAGUUUAUCGAGCAUAUGGAACUACUAUAUAUAUGUUAGUCAUGGUAGUUUAAUAUAGACAUCCUAUACAUAAAAGAACUUAGAAUCCUAGUCAAGUUGUUGGUACACUUCGUUGCAGUGGCGAGUCCAAAAACAAUUUUCAUUGGGGCAGGAUUUACUUACACCCACACCACAGCAUGUACAUGCUUGGUAUAAAAGAAUGGUUUUUAAAGAUCCACUAGGAAAAAAAGACUGAUUCUAGCCAAUUAUUCCGAUUGUCUCUCACAAUUACUUAUAUAGACAAACAAAUUCUGAUGUGGAACUCGCACCCACACCAAAACGUGUACAUCCGCUCUUGCUUGGUUGCAUGUAAUAAUAUAAAUUUUAUCAAUACAAUUUCAAUGUAUAGUUAUGUUUUGCUAAUGAAUCCAAUAUAAUUUUUAAGGACUAUAUCUAUCGCCAUAAUGAAAUCUGUUAGAUUUGAAAUAGAUAAAUAGUAGUUUACGGGUCAGAGAAAGAAAGGCUGUUUGUGUAGUUUUACACCAUGCCAAAUUGAAAAUUUAACACUGGUCCAAUAGAAAGAAAAAAAAAACUAACCACGUUGUAACUUCCAUAAAAUCUCAUAAGUUUCGUGUUCCUUAAGGUAUAAAGUAGGAGUUAGAAUCGCUACGAAUUAUUUUCUCGUUUUUGAGUCAAAAUAUAUAAUUCCGAUUCUUUUUUUCUCGUUAUCUUCUCAGUUCAUUUCGACGGUCGUAUAAAUCGUUUACUCGGUAAUUUAUUGGUGGACGGUGGGCUCUUCCAUUUCCUUAUUUUCUUAAAACAUUUUUAUUAUAUUAAAAUAUACCAUGCGAUCCACGUUAGUAAUUUUAUUAUAUAAAAAAUUAGGUCGCGCUAUUUGAAAGCGAAAAUGAUAGCAUGACCAUCUGAGGGAUCCAUCACCGUGCCUACAACUAGAUGAUUUCAUAACACAAAUGUAUGUCGCCAUGCUAAUUUACCAAUUAAUUCCAUAAGCUUCAUUUUUGUCUCGGGACUCAUUUCUUCGUAUUAAAAACUUAUCUAAUUAACUUCACGAAUCAUGUAUAACUUCUUGUUCUCCAAUCCAAUUAUUGUUGUAAACAACCAUCAAUAGAACUCGUAGCUCAACAUCGCUAAACGCUAACAAAACCAACAAAAAGUUUCGAUGUAUAUAUGUUCAAUUAAAAUAACAUAUUUUUAUCCAUUUUAAUUCUAUAACUAGUGUUUUCUAAAAAAAAAAAUAUAUAUAUAUAUAUAUAUAUAUAUAUUCCAUUAAAUUUUUGAACGACAUUUAACUUGGAACAAAUUUUGUUUUAAAACCCUUUAACAAAAAAAAACCCCAAAUUUAUUUUAUAAAACGACGUUAAGAUUGUAAUCGAUAUGAAAAAAAUAUAUUAUAAUACGAAAAAUAUGUAAUUGGUUUGUGCUGAUAUUGUUGUGUUACUAUUUAGAUUCAAAUGUGAGAUAAUAAUACAUGUUGGUGAAAUGAAAAAAAGACUGUGUAAGCGUUUCUUUAUUUCUUUCGUCAGAUUGUAGAUCCAAUCUUUUGACUUUGAGUAUUACAAGAAGAUAUUGGAAAUUGUAGAUAAGAUGCAUGGUGUUCCUAAUUGUGUUCAAUCAAUGGCUCCUUCGAUCAUUAAAUGUCCACUGCAUAUGUACAUAUACAUAUUUUAUGGUUUGAAUUAAUAUUUGGAACAAAAAUAAAUUAGAUAGGAAAAAACUUUUUCAGUGGCACUGAGAAUGGCAAGAAGGCAUAAAUCUAUUCUUUGAUAUUGAUUAGUAACAGUAUAACAGAGCCAAUAAUUGAUUUUAGUCACAGAUCCGAUACGCCUGUGAUGAUUUUAUUUAUUUAUUUAUUAAAUAACAUUAAUUUCCCUUUAUUCAUCAACCACUCGUCAUUUCAUUACAAUUUCAAUAAUCCAAUUAACAAAUCUAGUGUUGAAUAAGCUUGUUUUGUUUUCGUCACCACUUAGACAGCUUGAUUUAGACUUAAUCAGCUAAUUGGAUAAUUAAUCCUAUUGCAUUAUAAUUCUUUUUUACUUUUCUGACGACCCUACAUGGACCUUUUUAAGACCAAUGAAGCAAGGUCGUGACACUGGUUAGUGGUUAAUUAUGAUGUAAAUUAGUUUAGCUAUGUGUGUGGGUUACAAAGGAAAUCUGAAUAAGGGACAUUUUUUUCCUUUUUUUUUACGGUUUAGUUUAGACACUACGUUUGUCAAAAAAAAUUUAUUUUUUUUCUCUGAAAGAUCUGUCAAUACUCAAUUAUUGAGGCAUUCUAAUUCAAUGAACACGGAAAGUUGAACCAAUUAACUGCCAACUUAUUUCUUAUCUUAAAAUAUUAUGUAGUCACUAAUGGCACCAUUAUACGUACUACAUUAAAAGGAUAUAUUUGUUUUUCCUAAAUUGCAAACUUUUAAUAUGUUCAAUUUUAUUUUUUGUCGGCUUAAUAUGAUCAAAUUUUCAGCAUGUACCAUUAAUUUUUAUUUAUAAAUCCUGAUAUCUACUUAAAUUAUCUAAGUGUUUUAAAAUUUAAAUAAAACAUAUACUAACAAGUCACAAUCUACUACAUAUCUUCAUAAAAUUCCAAAUAUAUAUUUUUCUCAUUUCAUUUACCCCUUUUUCUUAAAUUAUUUACUGUCAGUUUCGUUUGUAUUUAUUUCUCGUUUAGUUAUUUUUUUUUCUUAUUUAACUUAAAUUAUAGAUUUACCAUUUGAAAUAGAUAUGAUAUUUGAACUUUAUAAUUGCUUUGUCUUACUAUAUAAUACAGUUCCGUAAUCAUGAGUUAAAACUGUAUUUUAUAAUAUAAAUAUAUUCUACGUAUAGUUCGUAAAGUCACUAGUAUAAUUUUGGUAGAUAAUCCAAAAUGUAUCUAUGUAAAUCUGGGAGUGAUCAAGUGUAAAGUGUAUUUUCCACAGAAUUGAGCAAUAAUUAAUAUUUUAAUUAGGCGUUGAGUCAAACACAUUAUCAUAUCAGGAUGGGAUAAAUCCAUAAAGUCAGAACGGAUAUAUAAAUCGAAAGUAAUAAUAUCUGUAUGAAAAUUAAAACUCGCCGAAAAAAUAAUAAUUAAAACUCACACGUACUAAUGUCUAUUGCCUAAUGGUUAUAACUUCAGAUCUUACUCUGCUAAAAUUUCUUUUAUUAAACAUGUUUUCUCCUUUAUUUUUGUUUUUGUCAGUAACUCUCUGAGUCCAACUCCGAUUUAUGUGUUUUUGGAAAGUGUUAUUUAUAGAAUAACCAUAUAGAAGAAAACAUUUACCAAAGAAGACGAAAAUAUAAAAAUAAAGAUGACAUAGAUAUCAAUUUUUUUCUGUUACCAAACAAUGAAUUACGAUGGUCUUAUUACGUUUAAUUAGAUGUAACACUUCCAAACAUGGCCUUCAAAACAGCCACGAGCUUCUCCUUAGGGGGCAAGACUUCCUUAAUAAAGUUAUUUCCCACGAAAUCUUCCGACCAACGUUGAAGUUUUGGAAACUCCUCCGCGGUCAUGAUCGUGACGCCUGAAGCUUCUUGGAAAAUCCCUAACCAAUAUCCUAUGAAAUCAGCUGCUAUAUCGACAAAUCCAAUUGUCUCUCCUCCGAAAAAAAGUUUAUCUCCAAGCUCCUUUUCUAAACAUUUCAAACCCUCAUAAGCCUCUUUCACUUCUUUUUCUCUUUCACUCUCCGGUCCCCAACAAGCUUUCUUCACUGCUAACAUUACCUGAAACCCAGAGACCAAUACAAUGCUCUUUAAGACAUGUAGCUUGAUUCUUGAUAUUACGUGAAUACUUUGAUAUCCGAUUCAAGUAUCACUAUAUAAAUCUUAAAACAAAUAUAUCUUAAGAAUAAGAUCAAAAUAAAUUUACCUUUUCAUCCACAUACUUAGCCCAAAACCGGGCCAUGGCACGUUCAUAAGGAUCUUGAGGCAAGAUCGUGUGAGUUGUCUUCCACGUAUCUUCGAUGUAUUCGACAAUCACCAAUGAUUCGGCUAUCGAUCUACCAUUGUGGAUGAGGACAGGGACCUUCUUGUGUAUAGGGUUGUACUUGAGAAGCAUAGGGCUCCUGUUUCCAUAAACAUCUUCUUCAAUGUACUCAUAAGGUAUGCCCUUAAGUUUUAGGACCAUCUCUACUCUUUUGCUAAAAGGACUUCCCCAUAAGCCCAGAAGCUUUACGUGCUCUUCUUGGUUCAUCUAUAUAUCCUGUUUAAAGAAAAUAUACCGGUUUGGCUUUCCCUUUGUGUGUGUGUGUUUUAUUGAGCAAUGAUGGUUAGCAGUUAUUUAUAACCACUUUGGAUUUGGUUAAAUGGAUGUAUGAAGAAUAGUUGGUCACGAGAAUAAUCAGAUUAAUGUUUCGUAAAAUUUGAAAUUAACAAAUAGGAUGAAUAUUAGGUGGUCAACUUUUUGACUUUAAAUGAGGGUAGUGGUUGAAGGCCUGUUCUUUUCUCAAUCGCUCAAUUAGCGACAGCGACCAGAAAAAUAGAGGUUUAAAUGCUUUAUAAUUAAAAGAAUAGGUUCAUAAUACAGCUGACAGAGAAAACCAGCGACAACUUUAGAUUUAUAAACGAUGGAGAUGAAGUCGCUGAAAAAAUCAGCGUUCACCGGCGACAUCUCUUUUUCGAAUUUAAUGUCGUUGCCUUUUUUUUAUCUGUAGCUGCUUUAACUUUAGCGACACUAAUUAGAUAAAUCCAGUGCUUUUUUCAGUCGCUAACUUGAGUCGCGACGAUUGGGAAAAGAACAGGCCCUGAGUAGCGUGCUGUGUUUUUAUUACUACAUCAAAAUUGUUUAAAAUUCCACAUAAAUUAGGGUGGUAAGAUACGGUUUUUUUUUACUCCCUGUUUUUUUUUUGCAUAAUCGUUUCGUAAUUGAAGAAAUUUUUUUUGAGUAUUAUAUUAUACUCCGUAUUAAGGGAAAAUUUAAUGAUACCGACAGCUUUUGACGGAUUCAAUACUUUCAUGCUAAGUUUUGUUUUCGAAUCUUUUAUAUUUGUGAUUAGUUUUUUUUGUGAGGGGCUACGUAAGCAGUUACGUUCGACGAAAAAAAAAAAAAAAAAAACAGCAAUUACGUUCACAAGUACUGUGGAAGAAACGGGUCUCUCUAUCCGGAAUUUUCAAAAUAGGCCUAUCUUCGCUAGGCCCAAUAGUAAUGAAUAUUGAAUACAUCUUUGACUUUUUUUGGAAAUCCCUGGGAAAGGCUCAAAACUAAACUAGGAUAAGGAAUUUGAUUGGGCUGAUUUGAAACCCAAUUGAACCGAAACCUAUUGGGCCCCUUUUUUAGUGAGGUAACAUUUUUUUUUUUUUUUUUUUUAUGUUUUCCAAGUUAUAUAAGCUUUGAUUUUAUGUUAUCAAAACAUAUACUGUAGUUCACUUAAUUCGAUAAAAUUGAUUCAUUUGAUGAAUAUAAAUGUUAAAUUCGAAUGCUGUAAAAAAAAAAAAAAACUAAUAUUUUAAUGUAAGAUAUAAUGUCAAAUUUCUUAACUUGUAGGUUCUAUAAAUUGGCUUCUUGUUGAACAAAGAAAUACAAAAUGUAAUCUUCCAAACUAUUUUUCUGCUCUGUCCACAUUAUUUAGAUGACAUUGUGGGUUUGCUUUAACUAAAAUCAUCAGUUAUAUCGAUCCGACCCUGGGUUCGAGCUGAAUUUGUUUUAAGAAAAGUUUUAUUGUAUAUCACCUGGCUUCUUCUAUAUAGUAUGACUAGCACUAAAAUUUAAUGUGACUUUUAUUAUUUUGUAAGAUAAAUUUAAAACUUGGAAAAUAAACAGAGAAUGAGAAUGAAGCUCAAAUUAUAUAACUAAAUACGAAGAAGACAAAAAAUAAAAUAGAAUCAUUUUAUAUCACAAAAACCAAAAUACAAAGAAAAUAUUUACAAAGAUUAACGAAAAGUCAAAAUUAAACUAACACUUUAGGGGUCUCAGUCUCCUUUUCAUCAUAAUUGGGUUUGUGUUUCCUCGUAGCCCUUAUAUAGCAAAACACUACCACAAGAAACGUUGUAGCUAAGCCUCCGAGAAUAACUCCACCUCCGGCAACCGAUCUUUCCACCGUGGAAUGGUGGUGGCCUCGCCGUACAGUCUCUUCCAAAUGUGAAACCUCCGGUGCUUCUGCCUCCUCUCCUGGCCAUUCGUGCCUGCCGAGUUUCCUUGUUGCCGGAGGCUCAGCUUCCGAUGAGGCUGCCGCCAUGGAGAAGACGUACGUUAGCAAGAAGCAUAGAACUAUAUGUUUCGCAUCCAUUUUUUUUUUUUUUUGAGAUGAUUGUGUUAAUGGAGUUAUUUAUAGGUCAAUAUUUUUCUCUUAGGAUAUAUAUUUUUUUUCCUCUUGCAACAAUUUUCUUUUUGUUUUUAUCGGAAGACUAGAGAGAUCGUGUGGUGUCAUAUGGAAAUUUCCGAGUGUUACGUUUCCGGGAAAAUCGGGUAGAUAUAAGUUUAGAAUUUAGACCGGAAUAUGAUUUUAGUAAAGUUUUUUUGAUAAAGAAAUUAAUUUCCGCUGUGUUCUUCAAUGGAGCUGUCGGGUUGGCCGGAGGAAUCAUACGGGUGUACACGUGAACUAGAAUUAAAAAUAUUAUUAAAUUUAACAAUUCGUUCCAAAAAGUCUACACAUUGUAUUGAUAUGUGUAUUAUACACGUACUCAAUCAUCAAAGGAAUCCAGAAAUUUUGCUAAAGCAAUUUUAGAACAUCAUCUUUUUAUUAUUUCUCAAAUUAGUAUUUAGGAAUAUUUUAAACUUAUUCAUAACUUAUGUUUUCUAUUUUAGAAUUUAAAGAUACAAACCCUUUGAAAAUUUAAAAUUUACACUAUGAAUUAUAUAAACUAACAUAGAAAUCGGAUUAAUAUUAUUAGAUAGUUCUUAUAGAAGAAUACAAUCAACAUGAUUUUUAAAAUGACUUGAAUGUACAACCAAUUGAACCAAUAGAUCUAUCUAUAUCUCAGUUUCCAAAUGGCGACACAUGUGUUAUCGCUUUUCGCCUAAAACUAUUUUGCUAAAUUAAACACUUAUAUUUUAGAAGCUGAAACACAGAAAUUUAGGGAUUUUUGAGGAGUCUAAAUGACUAAAUUGAAACUGAUGAUUUUUUAAGUUGGAAACCAGAGUAGAUCCCUAGCUACUAUUAGAUUAAACAUAGUAAAGUUUCUUAUAUAAGUGAAUCAAAGACAGCGAGAUCUAUGAUGUGUUUAUAUGUAAAGUUUGUCUGAAAUGUGUUUUGAUUAAAGUAGGAAGUGAAGCUACUUUGUCUCGAGGCAAGGACCAAGGUGGUCGGGAAGUAGCUUCCUCUUUGUUUUGUGUUUUAUUAUAGUUUUCGAGAUUAUGGUGUUAAAAAAGAGAUAGAAAAUUGGUAUAUAUGUGUUUGAUCAAAAAAGAAAAAUGGUAUAUAUGUGUGUGUAUGGAUCGGAUGUAAAAAUAUAUGUAGUUGGGAAAUAUUCGAUUUAUAGUUAGAACUGAUAAGUUUAAAUUCAUCAAUAAUUGAGAUUUAGAAACUUCGCUAAUUACCCAUGCCAAUUCUGUCAAGUCAUGGGUUAAUUAGACAAUUUAAGUUUUGAAUAAAGAGAAAAUGUUUGCUUAUAUAAUGGUACUUUUAGUUGUUUAUGUGAAGAAUAUGUCCACAUAUUAUAUUUUUCAUGUAUGUGUAUGGUUUGCGUUAAUGGAUACUACACCUCGUUUGUCUAGGUUUAAACUCCCCUAUAUGAAAAGUGGAGUCAAAUUUCUACAAGACCGAGUCCUUUUAGAGAGUAUAGGCAACAUAUAGUCUUUGCCAAAAGACAUAUUUGAGCACAAAUUCGGAUUAGACACGUGUGGUAGGUUAAUUUGGUUUGAUUUAAAAGUAUCGCACAAAUGUAAAGCUCUCGCCUUUUGAAGAGCCGAUGAGAGCAAAACAAGCAAAUCAUAACCUGUAUUUUCCUUUAUUUCGACAAAGACAAACCUCUUUCCUCUUGUCGUUAUAGAGAAUUAAAGAAAUAGAUCAUUAGUUACAGAAUUUAUUCUCAUAACCCUUUCUCAUGAUUAGUCUACUAUUUUUCUUUGAUGCCGACAGGUAACUUUAUUUUAUUUACACAAAAAAAAAAAACUCACGACUAGACAGAGUUUAUAGAUAAAUCUGAAAAAUCUUAACAAAAAUAUAUAUCCAAACAUUAGUUUACAUAUAAAAGUAAAACAAAAUUUCAAUAGUAACUCUAAAAAUAGUCUUCUUGUGAAUACUUUUAUCCAUUUCCUCUUUUUCUAACCAAUCAAAAUUUUGUUACCUAACAAAAAAAAUAACGGAAAUUUUCUAUUGGGUUUCAAGUAAAUAAGAGAAGCUGAAUAAAUUUUACAAAAGGAAAACAAAUGUUUUUCCCUAUAUAUGUACUAACGAACUAAAUAAAUCAAUAAUUGCGAGGAGAAUAAAUAAUGAUCCGAGGGAAGAUCUCAUUGGCAUACAAGGCACAAUAAGAAUAAGCAAGGAAAGGCAGUCAAAAGAAGUCGAAUAUUAUUUGUCUGUUAGAAAGCAUAAUCCUAAGUUCCCAUCAUUGGCUCAUAGAGAACAUAUAAUCUUUCUCCAAUGAUUUGAUGUCUCACACUCACUAGUCACUACUUUUACUUUUCACAUUUUAUAUGCCAUUUGCUUGCGCAAAAAUACACUGCGAAUGAAGUGGUUGUAAUUUGUGGUUUCAUUAGUUUGAUCGAUCGACAUAAAACGAUUUGUAACAAUAGAUCCAAAACAGUUGCAAGUCGAUCGAUAACUAGUAUGGGUUCAAGUCCAUGAAAUUCAAUCACAGCUUUGCGGAAUUCAAUUGCUUAGAUUUCUUGAAGAGUUUUGUUAGGAAUUUCAUGUCUCAACAAGAAGAAACUUAAAAUAACACAUAACGAAUGUUAGCUAACAUAAACAUAUUCACGUUGUAAAUGCAUUACGUUUUAAUCUUAGAAAUUCAUGAAUGUCUAUAUUCUUAAAGAAUACCAUAAAUUUAUCAGUACAGAUUCGACAUCCCAUCAAUCAUUCGCAUAGUUAUAGCUCUAAAGAUCUAUCCAGUACAAUCAUAUCAAACAAAGAAGGCUAAGACAUACGAAUGGACAUGAUAGAACAUGAACAACAAAAUUUUGUUUUCCACUAGAGCAUAUGUUCUCAUAGCAUUAAACCUUUCGAAUAAGCAUCUUCUCAAUACUAUUUAGCCUCACGAGGGUUAUAAAUUCUCACAUUUCCCUACUGACUUCUCACCAAACAAAAAAAACUAGAAGAAGAACGAUACAUAAACUAUGCUCACGCAAGAACUUGCGCGCAUUAUGGGGGGUGACGAUGAUGAGUAUUGGUGAGGACCGGGUAAUCUGCAUCCUGAGGUUUAAAGCUUAAUUUACGCAGGAAAUUUGUAUACGCAUAUACGUAUGUGUAUUAGUAUACCUUUUAGUCCUCGGGAUGCGGAUUACCUCGUUCUUACUUACAAUACACGUACUCGGAGACACGAUUACUCAUCAUCUAGAGGUUGGUUUUGAUCCUCCAUUUCUUCUAAGUUUAAACAUCAUUAAUAAGAUAUUUAAGACUGAAUAUCACCACACAUAUAUAGAGUCAGUCUCAUAGAUGAUGAAUUGGUAAUAUUAUAUGACACUACUGACUUAAAAUUAUUAUCAUAUAAUAUUACUAAUUAUAUUAAAGUUUUUUUUCGUCAACAUACACACUAGUUAAAAAUUUGAAUUUAGAAAAGUUCAAUUGAUGACUCAUUUCAGGAAUGCUCGAAACAAUGGCAACGACGCUUGUGUAUGUUUGAAUUAGUGAUAUAUCCGUUUUAUUCAUACUUAAUUAAACUGGUAACUCUAACUAAUACGCUGUAUAUUUACCUUUUUGUCUAGUGAAUAAAAAAAAAUCACGACGACCUAGUUUUAUGUCUUUUAUCUAUUGCUCAAAGGUCGCUCAUUGCCUUUGACUAAUAUGUUUAGACUUGUGAUUUCUGCUAUUCAAUUAAAUUAAUUAACUGCGUUUAUUAAAUUUCAGUUAGGUGACUCAUAAAAAGAAAACAUAGAUUAAUUAAGUUAUAUAUAUAGUAUAAUGAUGUACAUACAAAUUCAAAAGUACUAUGGAUCUUGCUUUGAAAACGAGUCAGUCAAUUGAUUUUGUAGAUUUAUUCAGUUUUCAUAGAUGUCCAACACUGGAAUAAUUGUUGAUAAUUUCAGGAAAAGCAUAUGUUAAAAUAAUGCUAAUAACAAAAACAAAGCUAGUGAUGUGUAUCAAACUACCAAUUGUGCAGAGACAAAAACAAAACGCCAAAAUGCUGUGUUGUACCCUUUUUUGUCAACUGCGUAUCUGUUUUUUUUUCAGUAUAAAAAACUUAAGAAAUCUCUAAACCUAAUUAUUGAGAGUAAAAAAAAAAACAAAUAAAUAAUCAAAUUUUACUGAAAUAAAUUGUAAUGAUCAAAUAUAUUUAAGCAUUGAAUUUUUUUUGUGUAGUCCUAAAGUUGAAUCUUGAAAGGCUGCUGAUCUUAAUUUGUCUUUUUUUUUUUGUUCGUGCAAAGCUGCUGAUCUUUGUUAUUGUCUCAUAUGUAAGUGGUUAGCAUAAAAUAAUAUUAAUUUCUUGAAUAUGCGUUGUAUAUUUUGGUGACCAUAUACAACUACUUACAUCGAUCUUGUAAGAAUUGCACAUAGUAAAGUAAAUAUAUCACAAAUCAUAUGUCCGAUAACUUCAUCUAUUUAUAUAUUUAAUGAUGAAAAUUGUAGUUUGAUAAAAAAAAUAAAAAAAAUAAUGAUGAAAAUUGUAGAAACGAAAGUAUUUUAAUCGUAAAAUGGAAAAAAUUGUUAGAUUUUUAUUGAUCAUUUUUUGGUAGUUGCUAUACUGUUUAUAGGUUUUAUAUUUAGUUGUGGAAAUAAUUUAUAACUAUAACAGAAUAGAUUAUUCAUGUAAUGACAUAGAAACAGUUGUUUUCACUUUUCUUGUUUUGUCUUGGUGCCGUGGUAGAUUUUGAUAAUAAAAUUAGAGUGUUGAUUAAUUUAUAUUUGCCAAAACAAAAUAAACAAAUAAAUAAUUUCAAGUUGACCAAUUCAUAUUUCUUGAUGGAAAACACUGAUCUCUUCUCUUCUAUUCUUUCUUUCUCUUAUGAGGAAUUUUCACAAUCUUUGAUCAUCUUCUCCUUUAUUCUACGGAAGAAAUCUAUAUAUUCUAUAUAUGGAAAACAUCAAAAACCCUAAAAACGCAGAUGAUUGUUCCGAUAGCAUAUCAAAAAACAGUCAUCAAGGCGUUGAUGAUUCCCUGAACCAGUCAAGAUCUUACGUAUGCAGUUUCUGCAUAAGGGGCUUCUCGAAUGCUCAAGCACUAGGAGGGCAUAUGAACAUCCACAGAAGAGACAGGGCUAAACUCAGACAAAAGCUUAUGGAAGAUAAUAAGGAUGAUGUCGUCGCCGAGAGUGAUGCAUCCGAAGUUGUGUCUCUAGACCUUAAUGAACAACAACAACAACAAGGAGAAGCUUUGACAUGUGAUGAUCACGAUCAAUAUGUUGAUAACGAUAUAAGUCCUAAACAGAAAUUAGAGUUUUGGGUUCAAGAAAGCAAGCUUGAUACUAAUGAUCAUGGAAAGGUCACGGAGGCUAGCAUAGAUGGUUCGAGUUCGAGUCAUCAUCGUGAUAUUGAAGUAUUGGAUCUCGAGCUUCGGUUAGGCCAAAGCGUCGUAAAGAAGAAGACAACAUAGUCUCUGAACGAUGAAUCAUAUAUUGAUUGCAUUGUAUCAAUGGGAAAAUCCCUAUGAAACACCAAACUCUCUAAUCCGUCUAUUACAAAUGGAUUCGUGGCUCAAAUUGUAUUGUAAGGUAUGCAUUUGUAUCUUAUUGCUACCAUUAUCGUUGUUGUACCUUGUAUUGAUAUUUGUUUCCUUGCUUGGGUUAAUUUCACCAACAACUUUUGUAAAUGACAUACACGUCCAAACAAACAAACAUAUAUAUAGAAAUUAUAUAUAUUUGGUGUUUGCUUUAUAGUUGUUUAGGGAAAAUGAAUAACUAAUAAGCUUAACUUAGCUCAACAUUAUUGAUCUGGUCAUGGUAGAGACUAUUCAAACUUGUUCACUGAGAAAUAUUGUUACAGUUGAGUUAUAUAUUGGUAGUCGUCCUCAGAUUUUCGAGUAAGCAUUUGCCAAUUAUGACUCUUAUAUUCGAGAUUAGCACUCAACAUUUAAUUAUAUGUUAGCAAAUAGUAUAACAUUAGCUAGCAAACUUAUAAACGAUAAAUUUGACCAAAACAACAUAAACCAAGGUCACUUUAUCUACUUUUUGUUCUCUGAAUUCUGAAAACGAAUUUGAAUAUCGUAUUCUAACAGUGAAUAUUGCAUUUAUACUAAAAUUUACGAUCAUAGCCAUAAAUAAGUAGUUAUGUAUAGUCAAACUAUAUGUAGUUAUACAGUACUUUAAGACGUUUGAACCGCUAAGAUUCCCAUAAUCUGCAUGAUAAUAUAAUGUAUGUAAACUGAUACAUGCACAAUUGCACAUGAUAAAUAUAACUAAAUUGAUACAUGCCGAUUUGCGCAUGAUAAUUAUAAUUAUAUGCUCUAUAACAUGUUAGGAUUUAAAAUGAAAAGAGCAAAUGGUUCAAGGCUGCAACUUGGUGACGCCACCAAUGAUGACCUUUUACGUCUUAACCACGUUCCGGUUUGGUUCGAGAACUUGUUUGAGAUCCGCUUUGGAUCUAAAUUCAGAUUGGUUUUAUUUGAGAUGCCGUGGAAAAUUGGAUAAUUUCCACCAGAGAUAUAUGAUUUAAUUAAUUGGAUUUUGGAUUCGAUUAUAGUAAACCGAUAAUAGUGAGGCAGUAACGAACAAAACAACUUCAACCGGAUCAUUGGGUUGGUUUAGUUUACUAAUUGAACCGGUUUGAUAAUGUUUAAAAAAUAAACAAGUGACAACGAAGACCAGCAGGUCCAGCACACGAUCCUAAAUCCUGUGAGCAUCGUCUCCAUCGCUGGUCUUCCAUUAUUGACGAAUCUCUUUGCCUUUUUUUCUUCCUUCUUAAACAAACCCAAUUCGAUUUCAACGAACGCCUCUUCUCUCUCACUCUCUUUCGAUUUGUUCUUUGCCGGAGCUCGUAGUGUAAGCGUGAUCCGCGGCGGAGAGAUGGCUCCUAAUGAUCCUAAAAAAGCCGUUGGUGGCGGCGGAAGUGGUUUCUUCGCCUCUCUUGCUUCGUCGAUCUCCAAUUUGGGAUCUGCUAUGACCAAAUCAGUUAAUGGGUGAGGUUUUUGAGAUCCCUUUUCUUAAACCCGGAUCUGCCACUCAGCUCGAUUCGUCAUUUUGAUUUGAAAAAUGGAAACUUUUUUGCUUUUGGUGUCUCCUAUGUUUAGAUCUUCUUCUAACGUAGAUUGUUAUUUCUCCCAAGUCUGCUUCUUUGGAAUUGAUAUUAGACUAGAGCUUAACUCACAUUUCACAUAGAUGGAGAAUUUUGAUGCACUUCUAAAAUGGGCUUUGCUUAAAGUUAAGCUCUUUUGAACGAUUCGUUGUGUUUUGAUUUGCUUCUCAGUUUGGUUCCCUAUGAGGGACUUGAAGUUAUCAAUCCUGAAGGAAGUACAGAUGAUGCUGAGGAGGAAGCAAGCAGAGGAAGAUGGAAGCAAGAGGUAUAUAUACUUCUUCCUUUACUAUUGUUGUUGUUGACAUAACUGUUGAUCUAAUCAUCUGAGAAAUAUACACAAUUCUUAGGAUCGAGAUGGCUAUUGGAAGAUGAUGCAGAAGUACAUAGGAUCUGAUGUUACAUCAAUGGUGACCCUUCCUGUGAUUAUUUUUGAACCAAUGACAAUGCUUCAGAAAAUGGCGGAGGUUUGUGCUCAUGAUCACAUCUGAUGAUUUGUUCCUGUCUGAUAUAGUUUUGUAAUCCGAUGAUGCCAAUGAUAUGUGCUCUGUUUCUGGUAGUUGAUGGAAUACUCGCAUCUGCUAGACAUGGCAGACAAAACCGAGGACCCUUAUUUGCGCAUGGUGUAUGCAUGUAAGAACAUUUUCCCUCCUUUGAUUUCUUCUAUGAUCAGUAUCUGUCCUGCGUGGCUAACUUGUAAGAAUUGAUUUUUAACAGCAUCGUGGGCUAUAUCCGUGUAUUAUGCUUUCCAACGUACCUGGAAACCAUUCAAUCCAAUCCUUGGUGAGACUUAUGAGAUGGCUAAUUACAAUGGUGUUAACUUCAUAUCUGAACAGGUCAGGGCCAUUUCUUUAAAACUCAAAUAAAUGUCAACGUGCUAUACCUGGCAACAUCUCACAGAUGGUUGAUACCAAUGGGUUUGUUCUCAGGUCAGCCAUCACCCACCAAUGAGUGCUGGUCAUGCUGAAAAUGAGCAUUUUACGUAUGAUUGUACUUCAAAACUGAAAACAAAAUUUUUGGGCAAUUCCAUUGACGUUUACCCAGUAGGAAGGUACUUCUGCAAAACCACAGCACGGGCUGAAACUCUAUAUCCUGAAUUUCAGAUUCUUCAUUUGUACAUUAUCCUGAACCUUAAAUGCCAUGAAUCUAUGAUUGUAGGACACGGGUGACACUUAAAAGAGAUGGAGUUGUUCUUGACUUGGUACCUCCUCUGACCAAAGUUCACAACCUAAUCUUUGGACGAACUUGGGUCGAUUCGCCUGGGGAAAUGAUCAUGACAAAUCAGACCACCGGUGACAAAGUCGUGCUUUACUUUCAACCAUGUGGCUGGUUCGGGUAAGUUUUUUUCACUGCAACCUCAUUUCCUGUUAUAUUUUUUCCAUUCAAAGCUGAAGAAAUGUGCAUUUAUGGUCUCUACAGAUCUGGUCGAUAUGAAGUGGAUGGAUAUGUCUAUAACGCCUCUGAGGAGCCUAAGAUACUCAUGACUGGCAAAUGGAACGAGUCCAUGAGUUAUCAGCCGUGUGAUGGUGAAGGUGAACCUCUCCCAGGCACCGAACUGAAAGAGGUUUGCCAAAUCUUCCUCUGUCAUUGACUCAAUUCUCUUUUUGUAAAAAUCUCAGUUUGAUGAAACAUUUUAAUGCUGCCUUUUGUUCAUAGGUAUGGAAACUCGCUGAUGUGCCAAAGGAUGACAAAUAUCAAUACACUCACUUUGCUCACAAGAUUAAUAGCUUCGACACUGCCCCGAAAAAGCUGUUGCCCUCUGAUUCACGGUUACGACCUGAUAGAUACGCACUUGAGAUGGGCGACAUGUCCAAAUCAGGCUAUGAGAAGAGCAGGUAUGGUAGCAAAAACUUGUCCUUAGGAUCUGAAAUUGAAGUAAAAGCUAAUAAAUUGGGAUUUUUCUAAUUCUUCUCCUCAUCUUUGAUAUGAAGCAUGGAAGAGAGACAGAGAGCUGAAAAGAGAACCCGCGAAGAGAAAGGCCAAGCCUUUACUCCAAAAUGGUUCGAUGUAACGGAAGAAGUCACUGCUACACCAUGGGGUGAUCUGGAAGUUUACCAAUUCAAUGGAAAGUACUCGGAACAUCGUGCAGCUGCGGAUAACUCUGAAGAUAACACCGACCCUAAGUCGAUCCAAUUCAACCCAUGGCAAUUCCAAGAUCUGUCUACUUAAAUGUAUCGCUCCAAAAGACAGAAAAGAUCAAAUCUUUUUGGAAACAAAUGUAUUCUUAUUCUCUCGUAGUUACAAAAAACUUUGUUCUACAUCUGCUAGCUUUCCCAUUGCUUUCUCUAGUAUUAGUGUACAACUUCUACUGUUUUGUCUUAAAUUCAUUCAAAUCUUUCUUUGAUCUUCGUCGUCAUAGUUAUCUUCUUCUUCUUCGUCUCCUUCUCGGAGCUUGAUCCCACUCUCACCAAACCAUCUUGGAGGAUCGAACCCAGAUCCACCAAGAGGAUUGCAGCGACAGAGACGCCAAGUUGUGAGAACAGUGCCUUUAAGAACUCCAUAUUUCUUGUAAGCUUCCAUUGAGUAUUCACUGCAAGUCGGAACGUAACGGCAGCUUCUAGGUAACACCGGCGAUAUCUCUCCUGUUUUUCACCGGAAAACGCUAGUUAACCACCGGAAAAACACUCGUACAAACCCUAAAAUCAGAAUCAGAUGAUGAAUUACUCUUGUAGAAUCUCAGCAUUGCUAAAGCUGCUUUGACUCCCACACUCUCCAGCUCUUCCCCAUCUGAACUCAACCCAAUCAAUUAUUUGUUACAAAAGAUACAAACUUUAUUAACCCCGAUUUAUGGAUAAGAGAAAGAGAGACCUUGAGGGGAUGCAGGGUCUGGUUUCGAUGGCGUCGAUUUCGCAGAUAAGCAACGGAGCUGAUUUUUGGUGUUCCGAGGAAGAUGAUCAAACCUCAGGCAGGAUUCGUUGAAUUGUCGGUGAGGUUUAAGAGGAUUACGAUUUUUAGAGAUUGUGAGGGUUACAUAAGGACGAUGGAUGGAGAUGACGACCGCCAUUUAAUGUUAAGCUCAAAACCAAGUUUCCAAUCUCGCUAAAACAGAAAACUCUGUUUCUCUGUAUGGAAAAACGACCCAUUACCGACUAUUUAUAUUUUUGUAUUAAAAAACAACACUGUGCUAUGCAUAUAGUGUCGGAAUCCAGUUUUUGUGGUGAAGAAUUGUAUAUGACACGUUAGAGAAAUUUGUACGAACGAAAAAUGCAUCUGAAUACGGAGCACAUCCACAAAGAGUCAUACUUGAUCUUUCACUAUGACCAGAUUCUGAACAGAGGAAUUCUUCAGUUGAUUGGUGUUGAUGUUGGAAAAGGGCUUGAUCUUCCUCUCUAAUUCUGAUCUUCUUCUUCGUCUUCCAAUCUGGUCAUACAAAUGUCACAAACUCUUUUGGCUUUUUUUCUAUACAAAGUGCUUACAGCUAUAAUUCUGCAUAGAAACAAAUACAUAUUGACAACUGUGUCUGAAUCUGAUAACAAAAUAUGAAAGCCUUAAAUUAUCGUACAAUGAUGUCUUUUCGCCUGUUAAGUGGUAUGUAUAAUAAGCAUAAUCAGCUUCUGAGUUCUGUAUCCACAACCUAACUUCCUUUUUGAGGAAUCCAAAGAAAAACAAGGAAAAUACCUAACCGAUACCAUAUUUUUCACAAAUGGAUGCUCUUAAUCCAGUUACAAGGAUGCGAGAGGGAGAACCUUGCCAAGCAGAGUCUAGUACUGAUUACGGGCCAGUCUUGGUUUUAAGCUGAGGCGCCUAAAAUGCUUGAAAAAGGACGAGCCAGUGUGCUGUGAAGUUCAAAAUCUGCUGCCUUUUCGGUGGAACUCCCCAGAAAAAGGUAUACAUGAUUUGGGUCUUGGCUAAUGUUUUGUUUCAGAUGAAUCAGGGAUUGAAUCAAAAGCUGUACGAAAACGCACACCAGAACCGAUAUGCCUUGAUGUAGGGCAGAGCCAAGAAAGUAUGUUCGGACCCAAAAUCUGUAGAAGAAACAGUUAAAACUUGACAUAGAAUAAACCUUUGACUGAUACUGACCAUCUAAGAAAAGGAUAAGAAUUAUUACCAAGGUUAGGUUUUCAUAUGCGCCGAUGUCAUAUGGAUGCUUAUAGACUUGCCCACCUUUCUCUGCUAACCACAUAGCUCUCACUCCUUCAUGGUACUGUUCAAUUUCCGAAAAAUUGAUUAGCAGAGGAACAAUAUCUAACUAGGGCUAAGGAGAUCCAUAAUCUAGCAAUUGAAGAAAUGAAAAGACAGGGAAGAAAGAAAGACAAAGAGAAAAGAAAAAGAACAACCUCAAUAGUCGUCUUGUUUUGUAAAAUGAGGUAGAUGUGCCACCCCAGAAGAACACCUAACGCGAUGCUUAAUGGGAUAAGAAGAAAAGCUGAAAUUACCUGAAAAGAAAAACCAUAAACCAUUAGCACAAUAAUAGUUGUUGGUAGUUUGCAAAACAAAACAUCAAUCUUAAUCAUUACAUAUAUAGUUCUUAAAUAGCUUCCCAUCUCUUCCUCUUCAUCUUGAGGUUCAACAGUAAGGCUUCCCACAAGUAAAACCUAGAAAUUCAAGGAAUAUAUAUAAAGCUCAUUUACUAAGUGGCACAGAGAGAUAUGCAUUGAACUAACGGAAGUUAAGAAAUGUACCAGAGAAUAUACACAUGCAGUCACCGCAUAGACAACAAAGACAAAGAAGACCUUGUAGUUAGUGUGUCCUACGCAGUUGUUGAUCCAGAUACAAUGGUGGUCCUUCAAAUCAAAGACGACUGGUUAAACAUAAUAUCACAUGGAUUUGGGAGAUUUCAUGUUUAGUUUGGCAGGAAACAUAUGUGUUCAGUAGAGCAUACCAUUCUAAGCACACAUCUUUUGCAAACUCGACAAUGGUGAGCUCGCGGAGGUUUGAAAUGUGAACACUUUUGGCAGUACCUCAAAUCUCCUCCCUGCAAAUAACAUAACCAAAGUAACAAGUGAAUCCCAAAGCCACAAAACAUGAGGUCACAUAUGGAAUAUCAAAACCUCAACUAUUAAGGUCCUAAUUAGAAGUUAGCUGGAAAAAAAUCUGAUCACUUGAAAGUUAAAUUGUCUCAUACAUGCCAUCAAAACAACGUUAGAGAAACAAACAAAACUACAAGAAUCACCACUCUAACUAAUCCAUGUAGCCAAAAGAUGAAGUUUUUACUGCAAUCCCCAAGAGUCAACCUUUAAUGUCCCUCACUAAUAAUUAGAAGAAGCUAGGAACAAAUUUGAAAAGUUGAAAUUUCUCUAGCAAGCCAACAAAAUCUAUCAAGAGAGUCAACAAUCUACAAGAAUCACCAUUCAAGUAAAUUCAUAGAGCCUAAAGAUUGAAUUUUGAUAUGUACAGAAAAUGACUACACACCAUAGACUAUCUAGAGAAUUAUUUUGACAAAUAUGGUAAAGUUCUAAUGCAGAGAUAAUGGCAAAUCUCUUUGACAUUGAAAUGAACUAAAACCGAUCAUAAUAAUAAUCCAAAUUCCAAACUAAUACUGAUAAAUCUCUGAAUUGACUAUUCAUCACCAAGUAACAGCUAAAUGGGAGAGAAAGAGAUGACCUUUCGCUUAAUCUCAUGAACAGGACUCUCCGGAUCUUCAACAUCCGGCAUGUAAUUGAGUGGAACCCGACCCGGAUCCCUGAAAACCGCGAUGGAGUAAUUGUAUAUACACAUCAGAGCCAAAGCGGUGAAAGCGGCGGCGUUAGCGAUUCCGGGAGACGAAGUGAGGCUGAACCACCGAUCGAUGAAAGUGAAAACCGAGGCAAAGUAGAUGAAACCGAUCACCAACAUCACCACCGUGACGGGGAGAGAGAAUCCGACUCCUUUCCGUUUCAUAUUUUUUUUGGAGCACCGGCGUCGAAACGACGGCGUCUCCGGCGAGUGGAUUUUUAAUUUAAAUUAUUUGUUUUAUUUAUUCGCUUUCUCUCGAUUGAUGUUGUUGUUGUACUUUGUUGUUGGAGUACGUCUGAAGUUGUCGACGAUUUUGGAGAUCUCUUGAACUCGAAGCUCCCCACCUAAUUGAAAUGACCCCUUCUUUAUUAUAUUAUUUCGUAUUUGCCCCUUUUGUUUUAAUUUUAUCAUUAAGGUCCUCUAUUAUUGUUUUCAAAAUUUUGCUGACACAUUUCUUAAUUCCUAAAAUGCAGUUUCUGAUUAUCCGUAUAACCGAAAUUAUUUAGCUCCAUUUAAAAAUGUCAGAGCAUUUUCGAUAAUUCGCUUCGUCUCCAAUAAUUUAGCUAUGUAACGUUCAGGUUUGUAAUUGGAACUAGAAUCAUGGCUUGCAAAGACUUUCAUGAUGAUAUCUCUUAAUGAGCAUUUUUAGUUGCUCAUAUAUAAAUUCAUUUAAUAAAAAAAAGAAGAUUGCAAGUUAAUAAACUGUAAAACUGUACUAAAAUUAGUGUUUAAAGUUUCACAAAACUUGAUUACGUAUUUGAUAGAACUUUUAUUAAAGAAAAUCUCUUAUUGUUUCACAAUUCUAUGUUGUUUCAUUGUUCACUAUUCUACCAUCAAUCCAGUUUUCCUACUAAUCUUCCAAUGGCGGAGUACGUCCCGCAGCAACCGCUUACAAUGCCAGAGAUUAUGAUGAAUACGCAUAUUCCAAUCUGCCAAAAUAUCAAAUAGAUAAAGCUUAAAUGAAAUUAUCAUGUAAAAAUAUAUUGACUCUAAACAAUAACCAUUUUACUUUAUGGCAUAAAAGAAAAAAAAAUAUAUCUUACUUGAGUCUUACUCAAUCUACCCUUCAAGAUACUGAGAUAACAAAGACAAGGAAAGAUAAAAUCCUGCACGGUAAACAAAAAAAUAUGAAUCCUUUUAACAGAUGUGAUAUGUCUAUAAUCAAUGAUAGCUGUAAUUUUCUUAAACGGUGACUUACGACAAGCAUUGCGAGGAAUGAUCCCAUCAAAGCCCCCAUGAUCGCUGCAAAGUUAUAAUUAGAACAAACGACGAUAAAUUAAGAUGCUUUUUGUUGUUGUUGUAUAGUUUCAUGCAAAAAGAAGGUAAGAGUAUUUUACCGAAGAAUGGGAAUGUAAGUGCGACAACCAAAGUAGAGAGAACUAAAAUCGUUUUAAUAAAGAUAGAUACUCCAUACGAUCUCAUCUUCUCUGAUGGCAGCAUAAGUUCUUCUAGACCUAGCACAAUUGGUGUGAGAGCUAACGCGUAUUUGGUCAUCGGUACUACCACCUAAAGUAAGAGAAAAAGAACCAAUCAAAUUUUAGUAAUUAUAUAUAUGUCGAGACAAACAUGUUUACCGAGUUUUAAAGUUAUAUCUCACCGCUGUCCAAACUGCGAUUUUAGAUGCUGUGUACUGCUGUGGCAUGUUUAGUGUAAACUGUGAUUGAAUGGCCUCACCAAACAUACUGUAGCCGCAAAUCGCUACGACAAUGUAAAAGAAUACGCAGAAACCAAAACUGCAAAAAGAAACGGAGAAAUGAAAAUUUUGACCUAGUAUCUAACGUCCAUUAUAAGUAACCUUAGGCAAAGAGAUUUUUCACCUAAUGAGAAGCACCAAAGGAAACUUGGAUGGUUCUUUCAUGGAAGAGUAAAUGCUGGGUAAAACUGCGUGACCACUGAACCCAAACCCGAAUAUCCCAAUAGCGACGGGUAAGUUAGCGAGAUCAAGAGAUUUUCCACCCGUGUGAAACCCGACUCCAUCAACCGACCCAACCCAGAAGAGACAAAGAGCAAGCAAGAUCGAAACAAAGACUCCUCCGGCUAAAAGAAUGGAACACACAUAUUAAAGAAUAUAUGAACGAAUCUCGAAGCUAUAUUGGAAGGAUCUUAUGAUAGAAAAUGGAACCUGAGAGAUAGGAGAGUAAGCUAAGGUCUUUGAGCCAAACUGUAGGAAGAACAAUAAGAGUAGCUGAUAUAGCAAAGAUCUGAGGAGAAUCUAGAGAUACUCCAACGAUGUUUAAUGUAAUGUUGGGGAAAACUCUCGAUAAAUUAUCGCUCAUCAUGAUUAUAUACUCCACACAACAUACGUAUAACUCCAUGUACAAAAGUAUCUGCAACUCUCAUGAGAGAUCAAGAACCCUAUAUAUUAGUUUGGAGAUAUGUUAAGUAUAUAUGUAAAUGAUUUCCAUAUGACUAACGGAGAUGAUGAGGCGGCCGGUAAAUCCAAAGGCAGCUUGACCAAUGUCCGGGUAGGUACGGAGAUCAGAAGAGCUCUCAAGACAUCGUUUGAGGAGGAUACCGGUGUAGCAAGUGAUGAUAGCAAAGGAUAAGAGUAUACAAAGCCCGAGCCAUCCUCCUUCUUUCACCGCGUAAGGCAUUGUGAGUAGACUUAUUCCACAAAGGACAUUGAUUCCUUCACCAAAAAUAGGUUCAACUUAAAGAGAGAUUGAAACUUUUCUUUUUGUUAUGACGAUAAAAUCUCUGUUCAACCGAACCGAAUGCCCAAACCCUAAAGACUUUUGAGACAAAAUCAAUACCGAUACUAUGUCUUACCAUUUAGAACAGAUUGAGGAAACGAGCAGAAAUUUGGUUCUCCAUACGAGAGAUCGGUGUUGGAUAACCCGAUCUGAGAUGAAAGGAAUAAUACAUCGUCUUUCUCAGAGAGCAGCGGUUGUUUGCUUGUGGAAGACGCAAACGAAUUUGCAAUAGAGGUUGGACGUCUCUUGUAUAAGGAAGCGACAGAACUGGUGAAUGAUGUCUGAGAACUUCUCCGGUGAAUGAAACUGAUUGUAGGAGGUGUAACUCCGGUCAAGAUAUCCACAGAUUGUCUAUAUUUUCCAGAAAAAGGAAGAAUCUUCACAAACGUUAUAAAUUAAUUCGUUAGAUAUCGAAAAAACAGAGGAAUUUCUUUUACCGAUAACUCCGAGGCCAUGGAGCUGAAUCGUUCUGAGAUAAUGAAGAAUAUGAACUAGAAUCAUCGUCUUCGUCAUCGCAGGAGACAUCAACUUGGCAUUCCUCGUCAUCUGUCGGAAACAAUAUGUCUCUUUCUUGCUCCUCAAGUUCCAUCGUCGUUGUCUCUGUUUCAAAACAGAGUCGAAUCAGAGCAACAAAGGAGCGAAAUGAAUACUAUAAGAAAAAAAAAAGAGAUCGAGCUCUGAGUUCGAUUUGCUAUCACGUCGAGUUUGUAUUAAUCCAAUUGAUACAUGAUCAUAAACAAAUUAAUAUUCUGGUUAUUCUGGUCGUGAUAUGUAGUGUGGAAGUAUUAGUGGCGGAUCUACAUUGCCACUAGGGUAGGCACGUGCCCCAUACUAAUUAGAAAUUUUAAGCCAUAGGAUAAUGAGACUAUGAAGUCAUUGUUCUAUAUUUGAUCCAUUGGUAAUGAUUAUUCUCCAAAACAUUGAGAUGGUGGAGUUUCACUUCCUUAUUUGUUCUAUAAAAUUAUUGUUAUAAUAUGUAAUUUUAUCUUUAUAGCCACCUUUCAGUUCAAGUUUUGGGUUAAAACAUGUUGUAAGAUUCAAUUUUCUUCUUAGACAGUUAUUUUUCCUCUUCAUUUUUCACCUCGCUAUAUUUCAUAUAAAUGUAUAUGUGCCAUAUACUAGAAAAGUUUCUGGAUCCGCCCCUCACAUGUUCAAAAGUCAAAGGUAUAUGCGUGGAAUUGGAAAUUUGGAAUGGAUUUGAUUUGUCAAAAAUAAAUUAAAAAAAAGUAGGUCGACGAAGGUUAAGAUCUUUUUGUGAAAAUAGAAGAUUACAAGUUAAAACAAAGCUUCAUUACGGUAUUAAAAUUACUGCUUCACGUUUCACAAAUCUUGAUCACUCUGUUAAAUUUCAUAUAAAAAGACAAUCUCUUAUUGUUUCACAAUUUAACAUAUGUUGUUUCAUUGUUCUUCAUUGUACCAUCCAAUUCAAUUCUCCUACUAAUCUUCCAAUGGCGGAGUACGUCCCGCAGCAACCGCUUACAAUGCCAGAGAUUAUGAUGAAAACGCAUAUUCCAAUCUGCCAAAAGAUCAAAUAGAUAAAGUUUAAAUUAAAUUAUUAUGUAAAAAAUAUAUUGACUCUAAACAAUAACCAUUUUACUUUAUGACAGAAAAAAAGAAUAUAUAUAUAUAUAUCUUACUUGAGUCUUACUCAAUCUACCCUUCAAGAUACUGAGAUAACAAAGACAAGGAAAGAUAAAAUCCUGCACGGUAAACAAAAUAUGAAUCCUUUUUAACAUACGUGAUAUGCCUAUAUAAUCGAUGAUAGCUGUAAUUAUGUUAAACGGUGACUUACGACAAGCGUUGCGAGGAAUGAUCCCAUCAAAGCCCCCAUGAUCGCUGCAAAGUUAUAAUUAGAACAAACGACGAUAAAUUAAGAUGCUUUUUGUUGUUGUUGUAUAGUUUCAUGCAAAAAGAAGGUAAGAGUAUUUUACCGAAGAAUGGGAAUGUAAGUGCGACAACCAAAGUAGAGAGAACUAAAAUCGUUUUAAUAAAGAUAGAUACUCCAUACGAUCUCAUCUUCUCUGAUGGCGGCAUAAGUUCUUCUAAACCUAGCACAAUCGGUGUGAGAGCUAACGCGUAUUUGGUCAUUGGUACUACCACCUUAAGUAAGAGAAAAAGAACCAAUCACAUUUUAGUAAUUAUAUAUAUGUCGAGACAAACAUGUUUACCGAGUUUUAAAGUUAUAUCUCACCGCUGUCCAAACUGCGAUUUUAGAUGCUGUGUACUGUUGUGGCAUGUUUAGUGUAAACUGCGAUUGAAUGGCCUCACCAAACAUACUGUAGCCGCAAAUCGCCACGGCAAUGUAAAAGAAUACGCAGAAACCAAAACUGCAAAAAGAAACAGAGAAAUGAAAAUUUUGACCUAAUAUUAUCUGAAGUCCAUUAUAAGUAACCUUAAUCAAAGAGAUUUUUCACCUAAUGAGAAGCACCAAAGGAAACUUGGAUGGUUCUUUCAUGGAAGAGUAAAUGCUGGGUAAAACUGCGUGACCACUGAACCCAAACCCGAAUAUCCCAAUAGCGACGGGUAAGUUAGCGAGAUCAAGAGCUUUUCCACCCGUGUGAAACCCGACUCCAUCAACCGACCCAACCCAGAAGAGACAAAGAGCAAGCAAGAUCGAAACAAAGACUCCUCCGGCUAAAAGAAUGGAACACACAUAUUAAAGAAUAUAUGAACGAAUCUCGAAGCUAUAUUGGAAGGAUCUUAUGAUAGAAAAUGGAACCUGAGAGAUAGGAGAGUAAGCUAAGGUCUUUGAGCCAAACUGUAGGAAGAACAAUAAGAGUAGCUGAUAUAGCAAAGAUCUGAGGAGAAUCUAGAGAUACUCCAACGAUGUUUAAUGUAAUGUUGGGGAAAACUCUCGAUAAAUUAUCGCUCAUCAUGAUUAUAUACUCCACACAACAUACGUAUAACUCCAUGUACAGAAGUAUCUGCAACUCUCAAAAGAGAUCAAGAACCCUAUAUAUUAGUUUGGAGAUAUGUGAAGUAUAUAUGUAAAUCAUUUCCAUAUAACUCACGGAGAUGAUGAGGCGGCCUGUAAAUCCAAAGGCAGCUUGACCAAUGUCCGGGUAGGUACGGAGAUCAGAAGAGCUCUCAAGACAUCGUUUGAGGAGGAUACCGGUGUAGCAAGUGAUGAUAGCAAAGGAUAAGAGUAUACAAAGCCCGAGCCAUCCUCCUUCUUUCACCGCGUAAGGCAUUGUGAGUAGACUUAUUCCACAAAGGACAUUGAUUCCUUCACCAAAAAUAGGUUCAACUUAAAGAGAGAUUGAAACUUUUCUUUUUGUUAUGACGAUAAAAUCUAUUCAACCGAACCGAAUGCCUAAACCCUAAAGACUUUUGAGACAGAAUCAAUAUCGAUACUACUACGUCUUACCAUUUAGAACAGAUUGGGGAAACGAGCAGAAAUUUGGUUCUCCAUACGAGAGAUCGGUGUUGGAUAACCCGACCUGAGAUGAAAGGAAUGAUACAUCGUCUUUCUCAGAGAGCAGCGGUUGUUUGCUUGUGGAAGACACAAACGAAUUUGCAAUAGAGGUUGGACGUCUCUUGUAUAAGGAAGCGAUGGAGCUACUGAAUGAUGUCUCAGUACUUCUCCCUUGUAUGAAACUGACCAUAGGAGGUGUAACUCCGGUCAAGAGAUCCACAGAGUGUCUGAAUUUUACAUGAAAAAAAGAAGGAAGAAUCUUCACAAACACUUCAAAUAAUUUCGUUAGAUAUCGAAAAACAAAGUAUUUUAUUUUACCUAUAACUCUGAGGCCAGAAAGCGGAAUCAUUCUGGGAUAAUGAAAAAGAUGCAUUGGAAUCAUCGUCGUCAUUAACAUAUGAGACAUCGACAUGGCAGUCAUCGUCAUCUGUCUGAAUCAAUAUGUCCCUUUCUUGCUCCUCAAGAUCCAUCUUCGUCGUCUCUGCUUCAAAACAGAGUUAAAUCAGAGCAAGUAACAGAUUCCAGGACAGAACAAACGAAACAGGAAAAAAAGGAGGGAACAGAGAAGUGAAAUGAAUAUUGGAAGAAAUAUAAAGAGACGACGAAGAGACUCGGUAUUGAGUUCGAUGUGUUGUCACGUCUGACGUCUGUCAACUUUGUAUUAGUCUUAGGAAAAAAACACUUUGUAUUAGUCCAUUGAUACUACUUGAUCAUAUGUAACGAAUUAAAUUCUGGUCGACUGGUCGUUAAAUUUAGAGUGGAAGGUAACGUUCACAUGUUUAAAAGGUCCAAAGUCAAAAGGUACAUGCGUGGCAUAGAUUUGCCAAUAAAUUAAAGAAAAAAAGGUAAAUUCAAGAAAGGCUUAUCGAGCUAAUUUAAGCCCAAUAAUACUGAACUAUUUGGGCUUGAGUCUUAAAGGCCCAAUUUGUGGAGGAGGCGUCAUCGUCUUCGCUUUUCCUUUUCCCUUGAGAGGUCGUCGACGAGGUUUAAGAUUUUUAAGAAUGUUGUAGUAGCUUCGCGAAUAAUCUCAGGUCUUCUAUAAAACCAAACUAGCGAUUAGCCGACUCUUCCUCUUUAUUAUUACAAAGACGAAAAGGCUUCGAGUUUUGUAAUUUCUUCUUCUGUUACAAGUUCUUUUCACUGUGAAAGUAAUUCUUCAAUGGCGAAAGACGGACCUAAUUGGGAUGGUUUGCUUAAGUGGAGUCUCUCUCACGCCGACGGUACUCGACCCACUCGCCAGUUGAGGUACGGACAUUCAUCUUGUAGUUGGUUUUUUAGGUUCUGUCUUUUGAUUUGUCUGAAACUGAUGGGAUGCUUGGUGGGUAGUUUAGGUAUCUGUGUGGCUAUGAUUGAGCUUUCACUUGAGGAGAUGAAUCUUAUGAGUGAAUUCGAAUCUGGGUUUGUUUAAAGUAGUUUUCUUUUUUGAAGAUAUCUGUUCAGUUCAUCGGUUUGGUUAAGAUUCAAUUAUCGAAUUCUGCUGUUAUGUAGGUGAAAGGUUAUCUAUUUUCUCGUUUUUACAUGAAACUCUGUUAAUUUUUUUUAAGGGAAUUCACGAUUUGUUCAUGUCAAAUCAUUCUGUAUGUGUUUUAUUGUGGAUUGUUUUGUUGAUUUGAGUUGUUUUAAUGAGACAGUGAGGAGGAUCGAAAAUGGUUUAUGGAGGCUAUGCAAUCGCAGACUGUAGAUGUAGUCAAACGCAUGAAGGAGAUUACACUAGUUAUGCAAACACCUGAACAAGUUUUGGUGGAACAUGGAGUAACACCUGAAGAUAUCCAAGGUGCGUAAUUUGUGGCUAUAAUACAUAGCUUAGAUCUUUAUCUUUUGCCAUUGUGUGUAGGGUACUAAUUGAGUUUAUUAUUCUGGUAGAUUUGCUGGAUGAGCUGCAAGAGCACGUUGAAUCGAUCGAUAUGGCUAACGGUACAUUAUCUCUAACUUGGACUUUGCUUUUUUUUUUUUUUUUUUUUUCUUUCCUGUUCUGGUUAGCUCAAUUUGAACAUUGCUUGUAACAACUUGUUUACUUACUAUUGUGUAGAUCUUCAUUCAAUUGGAGGCUUGGUUCCUCUUCUUAGUUUCCUUAAAAACUCUCAUGCUAAUAUUCGGGCAAAAGCUGCGGAUGUCGUUAGCACAAUAGUUCAGAACAAUCCUAGAAGUCAGGAACUUGUUAUGGAAACCAAUGCUCUGGAGUCAUUGCUCUCGAAUUUCACUUCAGACACUGAUAUUCACGCUCGAACCCAGGCUCUUGGCGCAAUAUCAUGUAAGCCUGCUUCUGAUAGUUCAUUUUUAGUAAAGAUUGAGAUGAUCAAAAGCUUUUGUGAUUUCUAUUUUACUUGGUUUGUGAUACUAAAAGAGACUUAUCUUUUCAAUAUGGGAUGUAGCUUUGAUUCGCCAUAACAAACCAGGAGUAACGGCUUUCAAGCUUGCCAAUGGUUAUGCUGGCCUAAGAGACGCCUUGGCAUCUGAUAGUGUGAGAUUUCAAAGGUAACCCACACAAAUAUUCUUAUCAUCUGCGGAUAUAAAAUCGUGGAAGAUUCUUGAAUUGUUGCUCAUUUUCUUUAUUCAAAUUCUCCAGGAAAGCCUUAAACUUGUUGCAAUAUCUACUGCAAGAGGAUGAUUCAGACCGCAGUAUUGCCACUGGACUUGGAUUCCCCCGAGUGAUGAUGCAUCUUGCCUCUAGUGACGAUGCUGAGAUCAGAGAAGCCGCUCUUCGUGGAUUACUUGAGCUUUCAAGAGAGAAAAACGAUGGAAGUAGCAGCAUAGAUAAAAGCGAUGAGAAACUGAGGCAGCUACUAGAAGAACGGAUCAAAGGAAUCACCUUGAUGUCACAAGAGGAUCUUGAAACGGUUAAAGAAGAGAGACAGCUCGUGGAUUUACUGUGGAGCAUUUGCUACAAUGAACCUUCUUCUCUGAGAGAAAAAGGACUUGUCGUUCUUCCCGGUGAAGACGCAUUGCCUCCUGAUGUCGCUAGCAAGCUCUUUGAGCCUCCUCUUAGAGCUUCUGCAGCAAACCGUAAUGCUACUGAGAAGAAAGAUGAACCUAUGAAACUACUUGGACCAUAGACGAGAAAUCAAAGCUAAAACUUUUUAUUACUUUUCCUUGUUUUUUAUGUUUUGUAACUUUUCAAAUUGUCAGAAAAGUUUCAUAGAUAUAUGUAUUAUGUCAAUGAUCAAGGGCUAUGUUAUGUUAAUUUUUGUUUUCAUCAUUCGAGAUCUUUAGUCUUGUUAUUGUUGAGAUUAAGAAUAUUCAGCUUCAAUGCUUUUUCAAUUCAACAAGUGUUCUAUACGAUUUCGGUUUAGCAACAGCUAAUACGGACCCGAUCUAAUUGAUCGGUUAAAAUUGGUAACUUUGAAUUGCGGUGAACCGAAGAACAAAACCAAAGCGAACGUCACAAUUACUUUGCAAUCCCUAAAGGGACAGAGUUCGAAUCAAGGCAGUCUCACAUAUCGGAGAAAUCUCUCGUCACGUCUCUCAGCUUCGCCUUCAACACCGUCGUCGCCGUCACGGCCAACUCCGGUAUUGUUAUAUAGAUACAAUUACAGUGAACUAGAUAAUCUCAUCAAACCCUGAUUCUUUCCACUUCCUCGCACGAUUGUGUGAAAACAGUUACUUUCGCUAUAAAUAGUCUGAUCUUCUUUCUAUUGAGCAGUAAGAUUGGAAGCUGUUGUUUCGAAUCGAUUCAAGCCUCGAAUCUGAGUUUCGGAUCGAUAUUAGAAGCUAAGGUAGGAGCUUUUUGAGUGAAGGAGUUAUGGUAUGGUGUAACCAUUGCGUGAAGAAUGUUCCCGGAAUACGCCCUUAUGAUGGUGCAUUGUAAGUGUUUUUGAUUAUUCACUGAUGUUUUGUUAUCUUAUGGUUUGCUCUUUAGGAGCUCAGUUUCUGUUGGAUUUGUGGUUUCCAAGCUUCGAAUUAUGAAAUAUCAUCGUUUUUGAUUUUUACAGGGCAUGUAAUUUAUGUGGGAGGAUAUUGGAGAAUUUCCAUUUUUCUACCGAAGUUACAUUCGUUAAGAAUGCUGCUGGACAGGUAUACGCAGCUGAGCUUUAGCUUCAGUUACCUCUUUUGAAGCUCUUCUGUUUUAGUGCUACAUAUGUUUCUUCGGAUGUUCUCGAUGUGUCUAGUGGUUUGCGGAUGUGAUUAAUAGGAUGUAGGAUUAGAGAGAUGUGAGAAUAUGAGUUGGAGAAUCUUGGAACUGUUAUCACAUCUCUGCUUAAAUGUUCUGUGGGGUUUGUAUGCGAAGAUGAACUUUUUCCUUCAGACUGAAACUUUGCAAAGACCAUAUUAUAUGAAAGGUCAAAACUACCGAAGUAUAAGAAAAUGCACUAAGCAACCAGCUUUAUUUAGCCACAACCAGUAGAAAUAUCAUCGAUAGACUUGACAAUGGAUUUGUUUCCAAGACUGUUGUCUCUUUAGUGAUGAUAUCCACAGAGUUACUUGAGAUUUAUACAGCCUUUGGUUUCUUUGAACAAUUUGGUUCAAGCUUACAAAUUAUUUCUGUUUCUGCAGAGCCAAGCAUCAGGUAACAUAGUGAGGAGUGUUCAAAGUGGGAUUACAAGCUCACGUGAAAGGAGAUUUAGAAUAGGUAUGCCCCUUUUUGUAUAUGUAUAUGUAUCUGUGUUCGCUGUUGGCCCAAAUUCUGCAACUGAUACAUCUAUUCUACAGCUUUCGCUUAUGUUUGACAGAGCUAUUCCCUUCCCUUUUUAUUGUAUUUCGAACUUUUCAGUUCAGUAAUUGCGUAUGUGUACUCAUUAACCCAUCCUUAAAUUUACUUCCAAAUUCAGGCCAUGUGACUGUUUCAAAAACCAUUGCAUUGUUAGACUCUUUACAUUAAUGCAAUUUUGAUUCUUAUGAUCUGACAGACCUUCGUCUUUUUGGCAGCUAGAGAUGAGCUUAUGAAUUUGAAAGAUGCAUUGGGGAUUGGUGAUGAGAGAGAUGAUGUGAUUGUCAUCGCAGCUAAAUUCUUUGAAGUAUGGUUGGUUUACUUAAUCUCUGAAUAUUAAUUUGUAAAGUACUUUUACCCCUUCUUUUAACUCCAUUAAUCUUCUGCAGAUGGCAGUUGAGCAGAAUUUCACGAAAGGCCGCAGAACUGAACUAGUACAGGCUUCCUGCCUCUACUUGACGUGCAGGUUAGAUUCCUAGUAAUCGUCUUAUUGCUCUCCUAUGUUUUUUCCUCUUUAGAAUACCUUGCUGAAUUAUGUAGUUGAUGUUUUAUUCGCUGUAUGUUAACCAUAAAAUUUCAUGAUCUGUAGGGAAUUGAACAUUGCGUUGCUUCUUAUUGAUUUCUCAAGCUACCUUCGAGUUAGCGUGUAAGAUGAUUCUUUUUCAUUUCCCUACUGUUCUCUUUCUUUUGCAACCUAAUUACAUGUUAAGUCUAUUGCAAUGACAAUUCAGGCUUUGCUGUUUUGGUUUUAUCAAAUAUUGUGCAGUUAUGAGUUAGGUUCUGUAUACUUACAACUCUGUGAAAUGCUGUACCUUGUGGAAAAUCGGAAUUAUGAAAAGCUUGUUGAUCCUUCAAUUUUCAUGGAUCGAUUCUCAAACAGUAAGUAUGUCAUGUUUUGGCUACCAUUCGUUUUUGUAUUUGGUUGAUGCAGAACAUCAGCCAAGAAACAAACAGUUAUAUUGAAUACUUAACCCAGCCUACUUGUUUCAUCAUACUCUUGCAGGCUUAUUGAAAGGAAAAAAUAAUAAAGAUGUUGUGGCAACAGCUAGAGACAUUAUAGCUAGUAUGAAGAGAGAUUGGAUACAGGUGUGACUUUGUUAUGUUAGUGUAUCGUUUCCUAUGUACGCUUUGCCUUAGAGUUAAUUAAAUUAUGAGUUAUGUUAAUAUUAGCUACGUAUUGGCUUGCAGACCGGCCGGAAGCCUAGUGGAAUAUGUGGAGCAGCACUUUACACAGCUGCUCUUUCUCAUGGUAUCAAGUGCUCUAAGACAGAUAUUGUAAGAUAUGAUUGGCUAUAAAGAAAUAUUGUUUUAGAUGAGAGGAAAAGUGUUUUAGCCUUUAAUUCACUAAUUUAGUACUGAUUUGGUGUGUUUUCUACUUCCAGGUAAACAUUGUGCAUAUAUGUGAAGCAACUCUCACCAAACGAUUGAUUGAGUUUGGCGAUACGGAUUCUGGAAAUUUAAAUGUGAGUUAAGGCUAAUGAGUGUCUAGCAGAAUUACAUGCUAUCUGGUCAUAUCAGCACACAUUGGGUUAAAUAUGAGGAUCUGGUUCCGCCGUCAUAGUAGUUAUAACUUAUAAUAUUGCAUGUUCCACUGCUAUUGGUUUGUUGUCAUAUGCAAUAGUGUCACAGGCUCGAUUUGCUUUGCCUCAUAUCAGUUGAAGAAUUAUGUUCAUUUUUAACGGUUGUACAUAUGUGGCUAGGUUAAUGAGCUCAGAGAAAGAGAAUCGCAUAAAAGAUCUUUUACCAUGAAACCAACCUCAAAUAAAGAGGCGGUGCUCUGUAUGCAUCAGGAUAGUAAACCUUUUGGUUAUGGACUAUGUGAAGACUGCUACAAAGAUGUAGGUCACCGGUUAAUUUCCUGAUUUUUCUAAUCACGUCUUCUGUUUACGUAGUUGCGAGUCGUUGACAAAUGGUUCCCAGAGUUAACAAUCAAAUGUUUUCUUUUGCAAUUUUUAAUGCAGUUCAUAAAUGUUUCUGGUGGACUUGUUGGUGGGUCCAAUCCUCCUGCUUUCCAGCGCGCAGAGAAAGAGCGAAUGGAAAAAGCAGCUAGAGAAGAAAACGAGGGAGGAAUUAGUAGCCUAAACCACGAUGAACAACUAUAUGUAAGUUUUGGUGCUCUUUUAUUUGAGGAUUGCAGUUUAGAUAUUUUCCUCCCUACCCAAAGCACCUGUAUUGGGAGCUUGUUCACUUCUGCUUGUAUGAUAUUAUAAUAAAAUCUUUCUUGUGCCGAACUUUUAACAGUCAGACUAUUGCAGUAUGAGCAAAAGGGGAAAACAAUGUUCUGGUGAGUGCAAUUGUUUUCUAUCAGAUUAAAGUUCUUCACUAUCGUUUGAGCACUUGAGAAUCUAUUUGGGCUGUGUCGCAGAGAAAGGUGAAAAAGAUAAAGAUGGGGCUGAAGAACAUGCUGAUACUUCGGAUGAAUCAGACAACUUUUCUGACAUCAGUGAUGAUGAGGUCGGUAAUUGUUUAGUAGUAAAUGCUAUGUCAAAUUUCCAACCUCGAAUAUGGAACAUGAAAUAAAGAAGAAUUCUCAACAGUUUCAAAGUCUUGUUUUCUCACUACAGUUUCCCUUGUUAUAUUUGAUCGUCAGUCAUAGUAUUUUACUGUUGCUCAGGUAAAUGGCUAUAUCAACAACGAGGAGGAAACGCACUAUAAGACGAUCACAUGGACAGAAAUGAACAAAGAUUAUCUUGAGGUGAUUUCAGAGGCUAUAUAAUAUGUAUCUUCUCUUGGAUUCCUUUUGAUUUAUCACCUAGGAGAUCAAAUCACAUACAAAAUUAUGUUGUUUUGUAGGAGCAAGCUGCUAAGGAAGCAGCUCUGAAGGCGGCUAGUGAAGCUUUAAAAGCUAGCAACUCUAAUUGCCCAGAAGAUGCAAGAAAGGCUUUCGAAGCUGCCAAAGCUGAUGCGGCAAAAUCUAGAAAGGUGACUCAGUUUGAACUUUGAAAUUAUGUUCCUGAUCAAGCAUCUGACUUUUGGAGAAUAACAUGAUACCCAUUGAUGACAUAUGGUUUCUCAAUCAAUUUCUGAUUCUUUUUUCUCUCUCUUCAUAUAGGAAAAGCAACAAAAAAAAGCUGAGGAAGCAAAGAACGCGGCUCCUCCAGCCACAGCAGUGGAGGCGGUACGCCGAACGCUUGAUAAAAAGGUUAGAAUGUCAGCUUCUUUGAUACCUUGAUACUUGAAAACGAAUAUGCAAAAAAAGAUAAACCGAGUAUGCCAUGUAUCAUCUGUUAAAAACCUGGCCUGGAAGUACAUAGUCAACAACAUGGCUGUCGAAAUUAUUAGCAUUGAAGAAACUUUAGAGUCUGUGUUUCUUCCUUUUUCCUGAUUUUGAGUGUUGACUCUUACAGAGACUUAGUUCGGUGAUCAACUACGAUGUUUUGGAGUCGCUAUUUGAUACAUCCGUAAGUUUUUGAUUACCUCUUCUUGUAUCCUCAAUUCUCAUCACUUUUUGAGGUCUUUACAAUUUUGCUUCUCUUUUCUUCUUUCAGGCACCUGAGAAAUCACCCAAGAGGUCGAAAACAGAGACAGACAUUGAGAAGAAGAAGGAAGAGAACAAGGAAAUGAAGAGUAAUGAACAUGAGAAUGGUGAAAAUGAAGAUGAAGAUGAAGAGGAUGAAGAAGAAGGCAAUGUAGAAUCAUACGACAUGAAGACAGAUUUUCAAAACGGCGAGAAAUUCUAUGAAGAGGACGAGGAAGAAGAAGAGGAUGGUAAUGAUUUUGGAUUGUAUUGAUGAUAUGUAUUGUGAAACACAAGAGUUUUAAUUUCUUUUGUUUUGCCGGAUUAGUUGAUUUUAUUUGCAUUAAUAUAGGAGAACCCCAACUAAAUUUAUUCUUUAUUAUCAGUAACAAAUAUUUAAGAUUUAAAAGAAAAAAAAGUUCACACAAAUGAUCUAUUUAUUUUUACAAUUCAAGUGGUACUGACUAAGAAAUGAAAAACCACUAACUUAAUUAAUUUAAUAAAAUCUAUAUGUAUUUAAUUUUGAUAAUUUUAUUUUCCUUGUUUAUGAUAAUUCUAAUUUCUAUCAGAUAACAACUAACAAUCACUGAACUUAUCUCACCUAUUUGAUGAGCUAAAUGUAUUUUAAAUUUAUUUUUCUAUAAAGAUAUAACUGAAACAAAAGUGAUGACUUUUUAUGAAAAUUCCCAAAAUCAAAUACCAGAAAAUUCAAUUUUAAACAAAAUGUGUCGGUCCGGAUGAUCUUACAUCUAGCUUGGUUUUACAGGAUAGUAUUUAAGAAGAAUCAUAAAGUUCAUCUCAAACCAAAUCCGACGGUCCAGAGUCACCUGCAAAGCUUGGCAUCGUAUACGUGUUCAGUGGUCAACGGAUCAGCUACGAGUGCCGUUUGAGGUUCAAACUUCUGUUUCUGAGGUUAACUCUCUACCGUUAACGUCCGUUAGUGUACCUUCUAACCUUGACGACUUUUCCACUUUCCAAAAGAUAACGACGGCGUUAAAUUGGUCUAUUUUACUGAACCAGCUUUAACCAGAAUUAGAUUGCAUUACAUUCAACUCGUGCUUAUGGAUAAAUAUCAGUUCGGUUUGGAGAAAAUAGGUUACUUAAGGUAAAAAGAACGGCAAGUAACGGUGUGACGUCAGCAGAAGAAGUAUUCGUUAUAAUAGUGAGAGAGAGAGAGAUAAAACUUAGGGAACCCUUUUUUAUGUUUUAUUUUCUCGCUUUGUUUCGAUCAAGUCUUCUCUUUCUCUCUCUAUCCCUCUCUCUCUGGUUCAACGGGCAAAGUAUUUUUCGAAUAAAGUUUUGGUUUUUUUUUUAACGUUCCUUUCGCCUUCUUUCUUCUUCUUCUGCUGGUGAAUUCGUGUAUCUAUCUAUCUCGAUGAGCUCCACUUUUAAUCCAGCCGCUUCUUCUCCAGAUGAGGUUAGUUUUUGUGUAUCGAAUCUGAAUUUUUAAGGGUUUUGUUCUUGUGAUCAGAUUCUAGUGAAAUUGAGUUCUUUGUUGUUUGGCUCUGAUUCGAAACGAAUUUAACUUUAUUGAAACUAUAAAUUUUUGUGAUUACAAUUGUUAUAAACCCUAAUUUUGCUGUGGUUGGUGUUAAUGUUGAGCUGUUUACUGAAUUCGUGAUUUGUGAGAUCUGGGUUCUGUCUGCUUUGUGUUUUACGAUGAUUGCUUUUUUAGGGUUUCUCUGUUUCUUAUCAAAGUCUGGAUCUUUUUUUUCUUUCAUUGAGAUGAUGGAUCUUCAGGAAGAAACAGGUGAAGUGAAAAUUGAGGAUCAGUGUGUAGAAAAUAAGCAAUCAACACCUGCUUCGUGCUCUUCUGUAUCUGAAGGCAGUGCUGGUAGUUCCCACAAGUCACCUACAAUUGCAAGUCCUGCCACAGUAUCACCUACUCAUAGGUACCUCGGGUUAGUUCGUCUCCUUCUUCUUCUUCCUUGUUUUGUAUCUCCUCCGCAGCACUCGUUUGCGAAUUUGCAUCUUUUCUACAAGAGAUUGAUGUUGAUAGUGUUUGGUAUGCAGGAGGACGAGUGGCCCUAUAAGGCGAGCCAAAGGUGGGUGGACUCCGGAAGAGGUUAGUAUUGAGUAUUGACUAGUGAUUGCUUUUGACCAAUAUCAAUUUUGGAUCAGUAGUUCGAAAUUCAAGAUGUGAGUUGUUUUACUUAAUGCAGGAUGAGACAUUGAGACAAGCAGUUGACACGUUUAAAGGCAAGAGCUGGAAGAACAUAGGUAAGUCUCUUCUUCUUUUUAGAUUCUAGUUCUCAUAUUAACAAGAGUAAUGUCAGUGCUACAACAUACUCCAUAGAUUUGUGGUUCGAAUAUUAAAGUUGGAGCCUACUUGCUUACAGUAACUAUUAGUUCCAUACUCUUGUCUCUGUAGUUUUAUGAGUUACUCUUGUAUGUUAACUUGAUCAUCUGAGGCUGAGCAUCUAGUAGAAAGACUUUCUUUUACGUUUGUUUCCGUUUUGUUCCGUGAAGCAUUUAGUAUUGUUUGAAUUGGUGUAUUCAUUUUUGCAGCGAAAUCUUUCCCUGAUAGAACUGAAGUUCAAUGCCUGCAUCGGUGGCAGAAAGUUCUAAAUCCAGACCUUAUUAAGGGACCUUGGACACAUGAGGUUGAUUCUGUUUCUGAUUUUAUUUAUUAUUUGGCUUCAUUUUUUAUGUGAAAUACGAAGGCUUAAAGUUUGUUGUUUUGCAGGAGGAUGAGAAAAUCGUUGAACUGGUUGAAAAAUACGGGCCUGCGAAAUGGUCUAUUAUCGCACAGUCUUUACCAGGUCGAAUUGGGAAGCAAUGCCGAGAGAGGUAGUUAAUUCAUAUGAGCCAAGCAUUUUUCUUAUAGUUAUAUUGGAAGCUUUAAUGUGUUUUGAUAUGUAUGCAGGUGGCAUAACCAUUUGAAUCCUGAUAUUAACAAGGAUGCUUGGACCACAGAGGAAGAAGUAGCUCUCAUGAAUGCUCAUCGAAGCCACGGAAACAAAUGGGCUGAAAUUGCUAAGGUCUUACCCGGCAGGUAUUUUUACUUUUCUUGGCAUGCGUCAUUGGAGUUGAGACUUUAGAGAAGGGUUAGCUUCUGGGUUUAAUGAAGGUUUUACUUAAAACUUGCUGCAGGACUGAUAAUGCAAUAAAGAACCAUUGGAAUAGUUCAUUGAAAAAGAAGUCAGAAUUCUACUUAUUGACUGGUAGGUUACCACCACCAACAACAACAAGGAAUGGUGUUCCUGAUAGUGUAACCAAACGUUCAUCGUCUGCUCAGAAAAGGGUUUUUGGUUCAGUUGCUCAAACCUCAUCAGUAACUACAGAUGUAAACAAUCUCGCUGAAGACGGAAAUGGCCAAAUAAACUCAUCUGUUCCUGUCGAAGAAGUAGUAGCUGCUUCACGAAUGACUAGUCUUAAUGAGUAUGCUCGUUCUCCUCAGUUGCCUAACCCAGAGCCAUUGCCAGAGAAUGGUGGAGCUGCAAAUAAUGGUUAUCAUCUGUACUACACGCCUCAAAUAGACUAUUACAGGGCGUCAGAAGUGGAUACGCAGCGUAUGUAUGGGAAUGAAUGUGGUUGCAGUCCAAGCGCAUCACCAGUUAGCUUCUUCACUCCACCGCCGUGUAGGAAUGUGCACAGUAACGGUUCGACUCCAAGAAGUCCUGAAUCUUACCUGAGAGAAGCUGGUAGAACUUACCCAAACACACCAUCCAUAUUCAGGAAAAGACGACCCAGGGUUGUUGUUCAGGAUAACAACAACGCCAAGAAAACAGAUGAAGCUAAAGAGGUUGAUCAAAAGGUGAAUGAUGGUAAGGAUAGUUCAGAGAUUCAAAAUAAUGGAUCAAAUGCUUACAAUCUAUCUCCUCCAUAUCGGAUAAGAUCGAAAAGGACAGCAGUUUUCAAAUCAAGACAGCUUGAGUUUAUAUCUAGAGAGGAAGAGAAAGCUGAUGAUGAAACCAAAUCAUCUGAGAAAGAUAUGUUGAUUGAUGGAGAUUCUCAACUCCUAGGCUAAACAGUGACUAGAUGAUUACACGCUGAAUGUUGUUUCAUUGGUUAUAUUUUUAUUUUUGGGUUAAUGUUAGAGAUGUUAGAUGUAUUUAGUCCAAAGAAUAAUUUACACCUCAUAGUUGAGCUAGGUUUUUUUUUUCCAUAACAAAAAAAAGAUCUUCAGUAGUGGGCCAUAGAAAUUGGUGCAUGUUCUUGAUUAUUUGAUUGAUAUGCGUCUUUGAUUAUUUGAACAUUGAAUCAUUCGUUCACCGAUGUGAACAAUAUCACUCUGCUUUGAAUUUUUUUCUAAAUAGACUUUAUGAUGUCAUUAUUCAAACGGGUAGGUAAUUUACAAAUCAUAAGAUAGUUUCACAUUGACAAAAGUGUUUUAGAUCAAAUCAGCUAUAUUCUUUGGCAACUCGUCAAUCUGAGUACUGUAGUACUGCUCAAUGUCCCGGAGAAUCUUGAUCUCGUCGAUUUUAACAAAGUUGAUUGCAACACCCUUACGUCCGAAACGACCAGACCGUCCAAUACGAUGAAUGUAGAGCUCACGGUUGUUAGGGAGAUCAUAAUUGAUGACAAGAGAAACUUGAUCCACAUCAAUCCCACGUGCAAACAUAUCUGUUGUGAUCAAAACGCGACUUUCACCUGUCCGAAACUGAUUCAUGAUCUCGUCUCUCUCCUUCUGAGGCAUGUCCCCAUGCAUUGAUGAGACAGUGAAGUUGCUGCUCCUCAUUUUCUCACUAAUAUAGUCCACUUUUCGUUUUGUGUUGCAGAAGAUAACAGCUUUAGUGAUGAUAAGUGUGUCGUAAAGAUCACAUAUUGUCUCAAAUUUCCACUCCUCUUUCUCUACAGAAAUAAAAAAGUUUUUAAUUCCCUCAAGAGUCAACUCAUCACGCUUCACAAGUAUCUUCACCGGAUCCGUCAUAAACUUGCUUGUCAUCUCCAAAAUCUCGUGAGGUAGAGUUGCAGAAACCAAGCAAACCUGAAUAUCAGGUGGAAGAUAUCUGUAAACAUCAUAGAUUUGUUCCUUGAAUCCUCUGCUCAGCAUUUCAUCUGAUUCAUCAAGAAUCAAAAGGUUAAUAGCUCUGGUGCCUAGACUUCUCCUCUUUAUCAUGUCAUAGACACGACCAGGUGUUCCGGACACAACAUGGACACCAUGCUCCAGCUUCCUUAUGUCUUCUCCGAGGCUCUUCCCACCAAUGCAUGCAUGCGUCUUAUCUGUUUGUGAAAGCCAGCUCUCUUGUUGGGGAUAAUAUCAAGGCCUGAACCCUGCAAUCAGAAAUACCAACAAAUAAGAUGAGAAUAAAUUUGGAGAUAACUUGGCAGAAAAGUUAAAAUUGGAAUUAGGGUAUGAGGAAGAGAAAACGUACUCUCUAGACGAAAGUGUCAACGACUUGGCAGACGGAGAGAGCAAUCAUAGAGGUCUUUCCCGUACCGGACUGAGCUUGAGCAAUAACAUCUCGCCCUUGGAGAAUUGGCAUGAUCGCCCUCUGCUGAAUGGCCGAGGGCUUCUCGUAACCGUACUCGUAUAAACCACGAAGAACAUCCUCUUUAAGGCCCAUAUCUUCGAAACUCUCGAUGGGAUCGACCCCUUUGGUCGUCUCGAAGUCAUCCAUUGUUCCAACGCCUCUCCUACGGUCUCCACGGCCAGGAUUCGCCACCAUAAUAAUCUAUACCCUAAUCGAUCUCUGUUUAAAAGUUGAAAAGCUUUUUGAUUUUUUGUAUUCAAUAGAAGAAUGUUGUGAGCUCUAAACAACACCAAAGGUCACGUUUAUAUAGCAAAAAUCCAACACCCUUUUCCUAUCAAGAAUAUGUUUCUAAUAAGGAAUACCCCGAUCCGAAACCGACUUUAGCCAUAUUAUAAAGAAAAAUAAAAAAAAAGAACGAAUUACAUACGUGUUAUUGGUUACCGAUUUAAAUAGAGUUUUAGUAAUUUAAAAUAUUGUGGAGAAUCUGUUGUUAUUUAAUCAAGACUUUUAAAAAGUUUGUUAAAGUUAGGUGUUAAUAGUUUAAUAUUUGUAAAAAGUAAUCUAAAAUCUUCAUAAAUUUAGAGUUAUUGGAUUCAUACUUUUAUAAAAAUUCAUUAAAAGUUUGUUUCAAAUAAAAUAAAAGAAUUUAUGAUUGUUAAUGAAUUAAAUUAUUGUGUUAUUGGUUUAUGACUUUCUACGCUUUUCGUUAAAAAAAAUAAAGUCAUGAAAAAUAUCAUCAAAAUAGAGAGAUUGUUUGAAAAGCUAAUCAACAACAUUAUAGAAAAUUCUCAAACAAUAGUUUAGAAUUUUUGAUACUGACACCCAACUUCAACAAACUUUUUAAAGCCUUCAAAAUUCUUGGUAAUUUAAGAAUCAAUAACACACCAAAAAGAAAAGAAAAGACCAAAACAAUAACACUGACUUUAGCAAUAAAUUAAGUGUAAUGGGCCCAUAUCAAGAUGAACAAUGAUGCUUCCACAUGACCAGGGUUACUAACAUCCAGUUUAUAAUACAUUGUUUUGUACUAACUAAAGAGUUUGCAAACCCUUUAACCCUUCUAUGACCAGCGUUAAUAACAUCCAGUUAAGCGUUAAUAAUGAAGCUAAGGAAGGCUACUGUACAAGUUUCAAGGAGAGAAGGAUUGCUUGAAAUUCAUGACCAAUAACGAAUACAUGAUAUGUUACCAGUUACCACCAUUAUGUGAAAAUGUUACGUUAAGAACAAAUAUUUGGAUUGUUAAUUUAUUAAAAAUGAUGUUAAAGAAACAUUAGACUAACAUAGCUUAUUACUGAUUCAUGUCAACACCACAAACUCUCACAACUUGUCUUAUACUCUUAUUAGUAAAACCAUCAAUUCCAUUCCAUCUUUCUCUGUUUCGAUUCCCAUCCGUAACGUUUUCAUUUGGUCAGGCGAAAUUAUGUCAUGAUUUUGACUCAUUAGAGAAUUACCAAGUUCCUGAUUUUGGUAAGAAUAUAUAUAUAUAGAGACAACACCAACGACUUUUCAUACCAUAUUUUAAUCAUUUAGCAAUGACAAGUUGUGACUAGAUAUUUGAGAAUAAAGUGAAAAACAGAGUAAAUGUUACGAGGCUCUUGUUUUGAGUUAAUGUCAUAGAAGAGAUUGAAACAAGAAACUGAAGACAGAGGUAAAUCAUAUAUAGACGAUGUGCCGAAACUUAGAUGAAUCAAACUAACACACUUGCAUCAUUUUAUUAAGCAGAGCCACCAACUCGGGAUUCUCUAAUGCUGCAGUCACACGUUCUUUAUCCCCAAGUUGUUUAUUGACUGCAUUAUAACAUCAAUUUGAGGAUCAAAUUCAAAACAUUUACUUCCACUGCAACCAAAAAAUAAAAAUGAAAGUUUAUACCUGUCGUCUCUUUAUCAUGACUCCCUGGUGCUACUCUCACAUCAACCUGAGAUUUCAUUACAACAAAAUUAGCUUUAAGAUUACAAAGAAUAUUCUUAAUAAACAAAAAUUGAACACAACACAACAACAAUACCUUGAAUCUAGCAGGUAAGCUUUGCACAAGUUUGACUAAGAUGCAAAGACCAAUAUGGGUUGGCAAGUGACAAUGAGGAAGAGUUGGAGUGAAUGUAAUUCUGUAAAAAGAUAGCACAACUUAAUAGAUUGGAGUAAAGAGAAAAAGCUAUUAAUCACAACAUUUGUUUUUUCUUUUUACCUAACGUAACUCUUGUGAUCAUCAACUUCAACUGAUUCUUCAGUAAGAACAUUGAGAUCUUCCAAAGAAAGUUCAGGAUGCUCUGGAUCUUUGAUAUCUCUUAUACGAUUUGUAGACUGUUAAGGGAAACAAAAAAAAGAAGAUGAUCCAAUAACAAUAUAAACAUAACUACGAGAAAGUCAUUGUCUUAGUAAUGAAUAACAAAAAUUAAGGAUAUCAAAAAUCUCGAGCUGAUCAAUUGGUUCUACUGAAAACUCAUCGGUACUGCUCUGAUCAGUACGAUAACGCCGUGUUCUCUUCGGAUAAAUAAUUGGGUUCUUAUUGGUUAAUACAGAAUCCAUGUUUUUCUCUCCUGAACGCAUAAACCCUAACGAUCAAUUAGUAGAAAACCGAAGAAGCUUAUCGAAUGAGACGUGGGAGACCUCAAUAAACCUAAACCUAAAUAUAAUCUGAGUCAUGAAGUUAAUUAUACAAAUCAUAUAAAGGAAAUAUCGGGAAAUACUUAAACGGCGCCGUACUCUCGGUAAUGUAAUUCUCGUAUCCAAUUUUCGUUUUAAUUGUUUCCUUUUUUAAAAAGGAAUAUUUUCUUUUACAUAUACACUAUGGUUUUCCUAUUCGAAAAGUGAACUAAUAUGGUUAAUAAUAAUACAUGGUGGAUUAGGAAUGAUAAUUCCCUAUAUAAACACUUUAGGUGGUAUUGGCAAAAAAAAAAGAAGAAAACUUGAGGUGAGAUUGGUCGAGAUUUCUGGAUACAUAAAGAAGUUAACAGAAGGAACAAGCGCAAGAAAAGGCCAUCCAUACAACUAUCGCAAGUGUGCACUUCCAUAGCCAUGAAUGGAGAAGAGACGACACCUUUUAAAAGAAGACAGAUGACAAUUCUGAUGCUUCCUAAUGAUUUGCUAUUCAACUGCUUAGCCCGCAUCUCAAGAUUGUAUUAUCCAACUCUCUCGUUAGUCUCCACGAGAUUCCGCUCUCUCCUUGCUUCAACGGAACUUUAUCAAACCCGAACCCACCUGGGCCGCACCGAGAGAUGUCUUUAUGUGUGUUUCCGACUAUUUACCGAAUCUGACCAACUACGUUGGUUCACGCUCUGUCAGGGACCAUUUAACUCCAAAAAAAUUUUGGUUCCGAUUUCAUCUCCUAAUUUUCCAUCUGCAUCCUGGUCGGAUGCUGCAAUAGUCGGUCCUAACAUCUAUGCUAUUGGAGGGUUAGUAAAUAAGAAUUAUUCGUCUAGCGUCAUGGUCAUGGAUUGUUAUUCUCACACAUGGCGUGAGGCACCAAGUAUGCAUGUGGCCCGUUUGUCCCACUCUGUUUGUGUCCAUGAUGGGAAAAUAUAUGUAACAGGAGGUUGCAAAAAUCUUGAUUCAACGAAUUGGAUGGAGGUUUUUGAUACGCAGACCCAAACUUGGGAGUUUUUGCAGAUCCCUAGCGAGGAGAUAUUUGGAGGCUCAAAGUACAGAAGCGUAGAGUAUGAAGGAACUGUCUAUGUAAAGUCUGAGGCAAAGGAUGUGACUUACAAGCUGCAUAAAGGUAGAUGGCGAACAGCAGACAUAGCGAUAAAUAAAGGGUGGUGAUGUCCUUCAUUAUCCCAUUAUUGUGUGAUAGAGAACGUGUUCUACCGUUAUACUGAUAGAAGAAUCGAAUGGUAUGACUCCGAAAAAAGAUUAUGGACAACUUUGAAAGGUGUGGAAAAAUUGCGUAGUUUUUCUCGUGUAAACUUGGUGAAUUAUGGUGGGAAAAUGGCAGUUGUGUCGGUAGAGUAUGUGUUCGGUAAGAAGGAGGCAAAAAUUUGGUGGGCGGAAAUUGCGAUUGAAAAACGUCAAACGGGAGAGAUUUGGGGAAUGCUAGAGUGGCUUGACAUUGUGUUUAGAACCAAUGACAAGUCAUAUAGUUUAGAGCGUGCUCUUGCUACUACCAUUUGAUGGCUAUGAAUCAUGACUCAUAAUUGUGUAAACAUAAUGAAUCAUUCACCAACAUAUAUGAACCAAAGGACAAGUCAAAUUGUGUGUAUAAGAUUAUGUGCAUAUCGUAGAGAUUUAUGAAGCAAUUUAAUAGUAAUAUGACUAGAUUACACAAAAAUAAAGUAAUUGACUUUGUUUGCCUUUGCUAAUCUUUUGUUUUUCUCUUUGAAAUUAUCAGCAUUUCACAAGUUUUCUGAUUUCAACAAAUCUAACUAUCAUAGAAGGUUUCUGGUUAUGAAAUGAAUUAUUAAUUUAGGAAUCGAAUCCUUAUGAUGUUUCUCUUUAUCUCGAGACUUUUAAGUUGAGAACAUAUUGUGUAAUGAAUAGUGAGUCUACUCUUUAACACAAAAGCAUGAGCUUUUAAAUUAUUUGGUUAUUGGAUGUCUCUAGAUGCUGAUACAAACGAACGAACUGUAUUCAAAUACAUUAAAAUUAGUGUUGCUUUUAUGUGCAAUAAAAGAAUUAACUAUUAUUUGGAAAAGAAAAAAAAAUACAUUAACACUACAUGUAUGUGUAGGUAAACCGUAUCCCUACAGCUGAGAGUCUCCGACCGCUGUAGCGUAGGGGAGUCAUCUGCUAAAGUCGUUAAGUGAGCAUGUGUGAACCUACGAAAAAACCACUAGUACAUGGAGAAAAUCAAGAGCGUUGACUCUCGCAUAGUCAAUGUCCUGUAAAAUAUUAUGAAUCAUGGAUCUCCAACUCUGAUACACUAAAAUGAAUUGUGUCUUCGCGGCACCGUGCUUAGCGUUUAUAGAUCCGUAAGCUAAAGAAAAAAUAUAAUUUAUGGUAAUGAAAUAAAUUUUCAAUAAUAACUUAUAGUUAUAAUAUAAAAAUGUAGUUUAAUAUUUGAUAAUGUAUUACAAAAAGUUAUGCAAAAUAAUUUAUAAAAUAGUUAGUCACAAAAAUUGUACAAAACUAAAAAAGUCUUAUGUGAUUAACUAUGAUAUGCCUAAUGAUUUGUGCUAGUGCCAUUGUCGCAUGUCGUAAUUUUGUAAUCGGGUCUUUUGUCACCUCUCAUUUUUAAACCGGUAUAAUGCAUGCAUGUUAUUGAAGAAAAAAAAGUUGUAAUAUACAAAAUUUGUUAUUUAAUAUUAAAUUUGUAAUACACAUUUCAAAAGCCGGCUAAAACCGGCGAACCAUCAAAACCCCGGUUCUUCAAGUUUUUAGUCUUUCACCAUUGCUUUUUUGUGUUUUUUUACAGUAAAAUUAGUUUUCUAUCAUUUGCAUUGAUUUAUUUGAUCUAAAUAUUGUGUGAUAGAGAAUGUGUUCUAGAUUGUAAUUGUACAAUGAUCCAAUGGUAUGACUCCGAAAAGAGUUUAUGGACAACUUUGAAAAGUUUGGAAAAAUGGCCUAGUUUUUUUUUAUGUAAACUUGGUGAAUUAUGGUGGGAAAAUGACAGUUGUAUUGGUGGAGCAUAUGUUCGGUAAGAAGGUCACAAAAGUACAGUGUGCGAAAAUUGCGAUUGAAAAACGCCAAAAGAGAGAGAUUUGGGGAAUGGUAGAGUGGUUUGACAUUUGUGUUUACAACCAAUGGAGUCGUGCAUGCUCUUGCUACUACCAUUUGAAGGAUUCAUUCACCAACGUAAGGAAUAAAUCACUUUGUUUUUACUUUUUUUUAAAAAAAAUUAUUCAUUAAUUUUUGUCAUAUUUGAAAUUCUAGAAUUAAUCCAUAAAAUUUUCGAACUCAUUAACCAAGCCAAAUAAAUCCAUAAAAAAUUAAUUCUUCAAAAUUUAGAAACAAUGGAGGACCAAUGAAGAAAACCCAACGAACAAAGAGAUUUAAAACUAUAAUAUUAUUAUCAUUCCACUGGAAGUACAAACUCAUCACAUGGCAGAGUUGCUAGACAUCUAAAAGAUAUGAUCAAAACAAACACAAAAGACAAUGAUCGGCUAAAAGAUAAGCUGAAGCCAUUAUUACACAUAAACCAAACCUAAAAACACCAUCCUAUAUAUGGUUUACUUAUUGAAUAACUUAAUUAAUUAAAGAGACUCGAUUAUCUCUGCUUAUUUAAAAAGGCUUCUUCACUUGCAG